GUCUGACUUCUCUCUGUCCGCAAGUGGGAGGGACGGUGUGGCUUCUCUGGUUCGGCGGUGGCUUGCUGUUUCUGGUCAAGGAAGCCAUUGGGUUCGAGAGGAUGCUCUAGGUUCUCGAUGGUUCGUCGAGUCUGGGUCCUUUUCCUUUCGCCGGGGUGUGUGCUGGUGGGUCCUAUUACCAUGGCGGCGGGUUGUGGGGUUGAGCACGCAGGCGGGUUGGUGCUCGAGCUCAGUGGCCGGCUCGCGUAGGUCUUGCUUGCGGUUUAAAGGGCGGUCGUCUAUGCUGCUUCAGUGGCCGUGAGCUUCGAAUCCUCACCUUCGGACCUCCUGUUCGUGGUCCCUAAUUGUCUCUCUCCAAUGUCGCCGGCUUUAGAUUGUUGUGGAAGUCGGGGACUGUUGGGUUGGUUUGAGCCCUGGUUCUAUUUCCAUCUUUGCGGUCGCAAUUGAUGGUUCUAACAGCGCCAAUUUCGGUUCGUUGGUUCUCGACGGCUACGGGCGUGUGGUGGUUCUCGUGUCUUUGAUCGCCGCAUCGAAUGCUCGGUCUUCGCUCACAUCCCAGCACUUCAUAGGUUUGCUUGAGCCUCUUGUGGUGGUGUGCGGGGCAGUUGUGUGCAGGUUUGGGCUCUGAUUAGGGAUAGCGGAGGUGGCGGCCCACUUUGCUCGGUUCGGCGUAGUGUACAGGCCGUUUCCGGGUCUAAUAAUUGCUCGAUUUGGAUGUUGUGGGUGAGUUGCACUGCUGCUGUUGUUCGUAUGGGCAUUUCUUUGAGGCGCUCGGCGAGCUGUUUUCGGGUGGGUCAUUAUCUUUAAGAGCGGAUCACCGGGGAGGCCAAAAUUACUGGGUUCCGACUCUCGGUUGAACUUGGCUCAUCCUUUUGUGGCAAGCUGUUGGUGCGGACUAAGCUGUGUCUUGGGACUGUGGUUGUGGUGGUCGUGUUUGCUUAUCUAUCGCUACUCGAUCGAGUGUGUGUUUAGGAUUUUAUUUUUCUUAUUCUGCUUCUUGUUAUCUAUGUAUUUCUGUCACAAAUUAAAAACUUGGUAAUAAUAUCUUAACAUUUUUACCAAAAAAAAAAAAAAACAGUUAAUGUGUUGGCAGAUUAUAUUUCCACCUCACGUAGCUGAACAAAAGUGCCAUUAUUAUAUAUACUAGAAAUUUUACCGCGCUACGCGCAGUUUAUUUAUUUGUAAUAUAUAUAUAUAUAUAUGUAUAUUUUAAAUGUUAAAUAUAAUUUAGAACACAAUUUUAUCAAUAAAUUAUUUUUAUUUUUGUGUUAUAUAAUUAAUUUGUUUCUGAAAUAACUUUUUUUUUGAAAUAACAUUAAUUUAUAUUUAUAUAUAUAUAUAUAUAUAUAUUUAGAUGCAAACAUAAUUAAAGUUUCUAUUAAUCUGUUAGUAAUCAUGUCUAACUAUUUUGUAAAAUUUCAAAUAUUAUAUAUUUAAUAUUUUCUAAUUUUCUAUUAUUUAUGUAUCAUAUAUUUUUUUAUACAUCGUCUGCGUUAAUAUCAAACUAUUAUUUGAAGAAUAGGUAAAUAACCUUAUUAUAUAUAUAUAUAGAUAUAUAUAUUAAAUGUGUAUUUAAUUUGAAUAUUUAAAUAUUUAAAUUUUGGUGACCGAUAAGAAUGAUUCGAUAAAUUAUUGGAGCUGUAAUACCGAGAAGAAAAUUACUAAUUUUCUAAAGUUUGUAAAAACAUUUCUAAUUCGACUUUAUAAUAGAAUAGAAAAUGAGUUUACUCUAUAUAUAUAUAAAGUUUUUUUUGUUUAUUGUUCUAUUGUUUAUUCUAAGUUAGAAUAUCAUUGGAGUAUAACCAUAUUAUAUUAUAAGAUAUUUUAUUUUGGAAAAAAUAGAAUAAAUUAUGGAAAUACUAUAAAGCUCACUCAAAUAGAUUGGUGAUGUGCUAACCUAAAUUGAUCUUUACACAAACUUAUUUGAUAUAACAUUAUAAAAAAAGAUGGGAAAAUCUUUGGUAUAUAUGAUAUACUGGAGGUAACAAUUUGUUUUUUUAACCAAGUCGCCUGGGUGUUUCCGCCAGGGGUUCGAAUAGCAUUGGUCCACCCAUAGACGCUUUAAGUUGCAAGAAAACCGAGAUUUCUAUGGGUCUUGCGGGAUUAAUUUUUGGGUCUAGAAAACUUUUGGGAUCUCCACGGUUAUCAAAAAAAAAAUGUAACCAUGAAGAUAUCUUAACUGCUUUUUAGUUUAAUCGCAUUGUAUAUGAUUAUUUGUUUCAGUGGUACAAACCACAAGCCACAAAGUUCCAUUAACUAUUUAGGUUCAAAUUUGAUAACAUCACAUAGUGAACUAAGGUUAGGUCAAAAUCAUGAUUCUAGUUUAGUAGUAUAGAUUGUACGUAUAUGGUUUACUAACGUAAAAUAUUUAUAUAAAUUUUACCAAUCAUCUCAUUAUAUCUGGAGAUAAUGCUUAUGAUAUCUGCAGUCUUGCAAAUAAUAAUUUUUAUAGACUUAUAAGCAACUAUAACAUUUUUCAUAUACUCAAGAACACAGUAAAUAAAUAGUUUACUAUACCAUUGAUGGCACCCUUAAAAUCAGGAAAACUAUAAUUAUUUGGUCAGAAAUUAGGAUUAACUCCUCACUGAUCAUAUUGUUAUUUUUUUUUGUUUGCUCUGCGUUGAACAUUUUAUAUGGUUUUAAAUGUUUAGAGAUUAGUACUCCUGACUACCAUAUUCUUUUUGGGAAAAAUUCAAAAUAUUCGUUUUAAAAUUGGUAAAAUACAUAUACGCAAUAUAUGCAAUGAGUAAUAAAUUUUAAAGUUUGCCUUGUAGUUUUUCGUUUUCGUUCUCACAACAUUUCUCUUUAGUGAGAUAUUUGGUAGUGUAGGUUGCACAAUUGAUAGGAAGCUAAUGAUUUUGAGAUAGUGUGAACCAGCAAGAAGAACAUGUCUUAGUAAGAAACUCCCGUUUGUUUGAUAUGAGCAGAUUCUAAACUUCAAGAAUAAUAUACCUGAUGGUCAUGUCUUUUUUCAUUCAGUCCUUUACAACUAAAGAAAAAACACAAUUAGAGUAAUUUAAAAAGCGGUAAAUCAUAGCAAACAUAAAAGUCUUCCAUAUAUCAAAACUUAUACAGCACGAAAAACCCAACACAUAUUCUCGUAAAGGAAUACCUCAACUUCACAAGUCAUUAUUCAUUACACCAAGAAAAUGCAAAAACAGAAAGCUCCAAAAAUAGUUUAGAUUCUCUCGUGUCCUUGCUGCUGCAGUUAAUGAUUUCUGCUCCAGUUCCACUUCAAGGUAGCUAGGCAACGCACACUGCCUGCGAGGCUUCUCAAACCGUUUGUUCCUUGAUGAACUUGUGUUAGAGGCAGAGAUGAGCGCUUUCUUUGUUCCUUGCACCAAUCAUCUCAAGAACUUACAUUCCAUAGCUAUAAACAUCUGUCCUGUGAGUCAAACAUAUGAUACAUCACUGUCCUACCCUCUUCUCCUCGAGACUCAAAUGUCCUCUCUCUCUCUCUCUCUCUCUGCGCACCCACAAUACUCCAAGUAUACACUAAUCUCCGGCUUGUACGCGUUCACUCCACUCCAGUGCAUGGCUACAGAGAACUUUUGGAAUCAAAGAACGGGACCCUUCUCACCAGCUGACUCAGCUCAAUAGUGUUGAAGUCAUAACCCACAGCUUCAAAGCUAGCGUAGCUAAACCCAUCUUCAAUGGUCAAAGAUGAAGAAAAAUUGGAAUCUCGAGCUUGGCAAGAUUUUUCUCGGGACAAAGACCGCUUCCUAAAUGAAAAUGAAGGAAUGUGCCUGGUAAAGGUCUGUAUCCCUGUAGAAUGAACUUGUCAUGUUCAGUUACUCUUUUGCAACACCAACUUCAAAUUACAAAGACAGUUAGAUUGUUGAAUGCGUCACAAAUCUAUUAUAUCUACAUACCUCCCAUCUUGAAGGUUCAUAUUUAUUUGGAUUCAUGCCAAUCUCAAGAUCCAGGUGAACUUACAUGAACCAAGUCAUCACCUUCCAGCCUUUUGGUAUGAUGUAUGCCUAAUUACAGAAACAUAGAAAUGAAUAUACAAAAAGGGUUUAAAGAUUGUUUGUUGUGUUCCAUGUAGGCGAUGAGCAUAGACUGACCGUUCAUUUGGCCAUCCCUCUUUGCUUCCCGGAAGGCCUUAGAUAGAAUGUACCCAAAGUGUCUCAUCAGAACCUUCAUAAAAAGCCUCAUUUUGUAUUCAGUGAGAGAAUAUGUAACGAAUCAUACCUUUUUAAAAACACCAUAAACUUGUUUUGCAAUGAGGCACCUGUGAUUGUUAGUCCAUUUUACAUGUCUCUUUUAAGAGUCAAAUCCUGGUCCGGUGCUCAAUUUUCAACAAUAGCAUCUUGUUCUCCCUGUGUAGAAUGAAAUCACUAUUAAAGCUUGUAAAGUGAAAUGGAAAAGGAUUAUAAAAACAUAUAUUCUCAUGUUACCUCUAACUUCUGGAGAAUCUUAGGGUGUUCCUGCAGAGAAAUGGAAGCCCAAAUAAUGGUGAGUCCAGAGGAUUCAUGGCCUGUACUAAUAAUAUAUAUCAAAAAAGCAUCGAUAAUUUUCUGUUUCUCUAGAGUUCUUCCAUUCUCUUCUUUAUUAUCAUUAGAUUAUCCAGCAUGUCUUAUUCAUUGGAGUUCAGAGUAGCCAGCAUAGAUCUAAGACUUUAGGAGCAUUUUACGAAUCUGCUGAGAAAGUUAUAUAUUUGGAGAUUCAAAAAGGAUCUUCAUUGUUUUUUUUUUUUGAAUAUAAAUUCCUGCCUGAAAAAUUCAAAAAGCUUAUUUAAAAAGAUUGGAAAUUUAAUGGGAAAGUGAAAGUAUAACAUACAAAUGAAAACUACGGCCAAAGAAAACAGAAUUAUGAUUCUAAGCUCAAUUAAUCUCACAAAAUUACUAUUCUUCACAAGUCCAACAGGAGAAGAACAGAUAUGCAACAAAAUAGGAGCCUUACCACCACAUCAUUAAACCAAAUCGAGCAAAGACUUGCGUUACCUAAACCGAAACCAGGAAGCUAGGCUGUAAGAAAAGUGUUCCCAAAAUAAAUCCCUUACACAUCUCCUGGUGUGAAAAAAAGAAGAAGAGAAAACUAAAUCAGCAUUGAUAAAGAAUAAAUCAGUGGGAGCAUCGCAAGAGCAAUGGCAAACAACGGCUGCUAAGAUCAACAGGGCAGUUUAAUUGAAACUGACACUAUUUUGGUUAAUUGAAUAAGGAAUUACCAAACAAAGGCAAGAUAGUGGGUCAUGCCUUUAGUAUUUGCUAAAGAACAAAUAGCUUCAUCCAUGAAGACAAAAGUACCAGCAAGUGAACUUGCCUUUUGGUUUCAUCGCUAUAGUGUCAACUUCUUGAAAUGAGGUUUUCGGGAUUGAAUGGAAGCAAUUUAAGACAAAGUGGUUUAUAAAGAAAGAGAAAGAGAAGAAGGUGAAACGAACUCAUUAAGAAGUAUUGAAGAACACCAUUGAUUGAUAGCAGAUGAGACUCAGCUCAGUAACGGAGAUUUGAUGAAGAGGAAAGUAGAAGACGAAGUCGAAGGAUGAUCUUGGGCCUUUAACAUGUAUAAUGAACCCAGCAAAGAGAGUAAUUUUUAUUUUCUACAGAAAUCAAUAUGACAUGGCAGUUUGGACGAUUUUUAGUGGAUGAAUUUUAAAUCUGACGUGGACAGACUCUCCUUUCAGCAUAUCUCCCUUUUAGUAUUGUUAGAUUAGAUAUAUAUAUAUAUAUAUAUAUAUAUAUAUAUAUAUAUAUAUAUAUAUAUAUAUAUAUAUAUAUAUUUUAUAAAAAUGUGCCAUUCCUCAUCUAUAAUCUUAUUUAUUUAUUUAGAAAUCUUAUAAAUAUCUAAAUUAUUUCAACUAAAUUUUCCAUGUGUGUUCGGUAGUCGUCUAUUUUUUUUUCUCUCUCUCUCUUGUAACCUUAAGUGGCUGUGGUUGGGUUUUUUUGUACAGGAUAAACUAUUUUAUAAUAUUAUUUUUUAAGUAUUUUUUGUGGGAGUUAAAUAUAUAUCUUCAAUGCUUUACAAACUUGUUUGGACCUUUUUCUGUCUUUUCUAAGAAAAGUCCAACUGAGAGAAAAUUCAUUCAAAAGAUUACCCUACAUGUCUACUGACCGAGUAUAUUUGGUCCAACCAGCGUAUGAUCGUACUCCACAAAAAAAGUCGAAAACGAUUUUUUUUUAAAUUAAUAUAGAGGUAUCUAUACUAUUAAAGCAGUAGGGUUCUGCCCUUAGAUUAACAAUUUAUUUUUAUUUUUCUUUUAACAUUUAUUAACAAUUUAUUUAUAACGGCAUGCUAUUAUCAUUUUUUUUUGACAACACGGCAUGUCAUUAUCAUUUAAUUUUAAUUUCAAUAAAUGUAUUUAAGAAGGGGUUUUCAUUAAAGUGUAUUUUUUCUUUAUUUAUGUGACAUUAGUAUAUAUAAUCAUCAAAACAAAAUUUAUAAUACAUCAAUUGUAUAACAAUGAAGAUCAAAUAUCUCUCUUCCAUGUUUAUGUUUUGAAAAUCAAACCAAAAUUUUAACGUUGAAGACCAAGCUCCAAGCAAAAUUCAAACCAAUUUAGUAUUAAUUCAGAUAUUUCAUAUAUGUCUAUCAAUAUUUUUAUUAUUGACACUGAUAAUUUUGAAUUCUAUCAAAUUUAAGAAUAUAUUUAUUAAUUAUUUAAAAUUUAUCUAAACAAAAUGUUAUGAUACAUCAAGUGUAUAACAAUGAAGAUUAAAUAUCUCUCUUCCAUGUUUAUAACUUUCUUUUAUAAUUACAAUAUUAAUGUUAUGCAACUAGAGUUUUCUUGAAUAUAAUAAAUAAAUAAAAAUGGGAAUACAAAUGGGAAGUUUAAUCCGAGAUACACAUUGUUGCUGUAUCCGAUUUCUUAAGAAUCUUAAGAUGAUAUAUGUACAUUAACUAAUUAAAUCUUUUUAUUAAUCUACCAAAUAUUCUUCGCAUUAUUAUUCUAACCAAGCAAAAAAAAAGAAUUAGGAGUAGGCGUUCGGGUACCCAUUCGGGUUUGAUCCUAUGUCUAUUUGGGUUUUGGGUUUUCAUGAUUAAAGAUUUCAGUUAAUUUAUAAAUUUCAGAUUAGAUUCGGUUUAGAUCUUUUGGUAGUUGGUUUGGGUUUAGAUAAACCAUUUAAAUUAUUUUUAAAAAUUAAAAGUUCAUAUAUACUGUAAAUUUCUCAAAAUUUAAAAAUAAAAAUAAUAUAUUAUAUGACUUUGAAUAAUGUAUGCCAAAAUACCUAAACUUAACAUAUAAAUUGGUUUGGUAUGAAUAUUUUGAUAGAUAAUCGAUAGAUAUUUCAAGUAUUUUUGGUAUUUUGAGUAUUGUUUACCUAUUUUAGACAUUUACUUUUGAAAAUUUUCAAAUAUCAUGUAUAUUUGGGAUACUUUUUAUAUAUUAAAUCUAAAAUUAAUCAAUAUAUUGAAGUAUAUAAAUUUAUUUUGGAUAUUUUUAAGUAGUUAAAACACUUUGGUGUAGAUCGGGUUUGGUUAUAUAAAUACAAAAUUUUUGAAUCUAUUCGGAUAUAUAACCAAUUUUGGUUUGAUACUAUUUUUCGGAUUGGUUUCGGUUUGGUUCUUCAGAUUCGAGUUUUUUUGUCCAACCCUAACCAAAAUAGUCAAACUGAAACCAAAUUUAAAUACAUAAAUAAUUGAACGGUUCUUAUAUCUUGUAUUGAAAAAAUCAAAACCAAAAAUUAAACUAAAACCAAAAAAAAAACAAAAUAGAAUUGAAACGAGAAUAAUCUCUCGUUUUUAAAGCACAGAUCAAAAUCUAGUACUAGAUUUAUAGAAGAACCAACACUAAUAUUCAAAUAGAUUCUAAAUAAUAGACUCAUAUCCACUUGAACAUAUGAUGGAAUGCAUCGGAAUAUUUUCGAAUCUGAGUUAUUUAUCAACUAAAAAAGGCCAUCUAUCACAUGGUUCAUGAAAACGAUUUUUCAUAUGGACUUUUGUACAUUUCUGUAAUUAGUCUGGCUGUUAAAAUGUUUAUAUAACUUAGUUUUGUUAAGUUUAAAUUCCUCAGUUAUAAACAAUUAAAAUAUUUAGAAAUCAAGUAUAUAUUUUGUUGUUAAAAAUGUUGGAAUGGUGUUACCCAAAAAUUACAUUAUAUCAAAGUUGGUCGAAGGAAAAAAAAAGGUUGGUCGAAUGAAAUUUUCUAAUAAUUUUAGAGGGUACAUCAAAUUCAGCGACUCCCAUGGUAUUAAAAUAUUCUUAAAAUCGCGUCACUGAAUAUUAGAUACAAGGGAACUGCAAAAAGAAAAAGAGAAAAUUGUUUUUUAGAGCAAAAAAUGAUAAUUAUGUCUGUUUAGACUAAUAUAUAUUUUGUGUCAUUUUUCUCUAUAAUACCCUUUUAUAGUUGAAAAUAAAUUUAGUAAAGAGUUUUACAAAUAAAAAAAUUAGAAAAAUAGUAACUAUUGAUAAAAUACAUAUAUGAACUUAGUGGUGUUUCUUUCAGUUCUAAAAAUGUUUAAAUCAUAAUUUUCAUAUUCUGUUCUAAAUAAAGUAGAAAUGACAUUCUACGAAUUAGCAAAACGAAAUCCACUUUUUUAUUGAAUCUGCAAUGUUUAGAAUAUGUCAUCUACGUAAUAAGAGUAUUCUAAAAAUAUUUAGAAUACACAUUCCGCGCUUAACUUACCGAUCUAAAAUCUUUAGAAAUCAAAAUCUACACAUUAAUAUAAAUCUAAAACACGUAUAAACCGACUUCUACAGAUUUCUUGUAAAGCUAAAACAUGUAGAAAUCAAAAUCUACACAUUACUAUAAUUCUAAAAACCUGUAGAAACCGAUUUCUACAGAUUAGAUGUAUUCUACGGAUAAGAAAUCAGUUCCUAAAAAUAUGGAAACAAAAUAUUUGGGAAUAUUCACUUUCAUAUUUUGAAAAUCGAUUUAAAAAAAAAACUUAAAAAAACUUAAAAAAAACGUGGUAACCUUCUUCUCACGCCGUCUUCUAUAUUCCAUUGAUUGUUCACAAAAUUUUCACAAAAAGUUCACAUUAUUUCAACCAAAUCAGUGUGAAAAUUGAGUGAGUUAAGAGUUUAUGAACUUGAGACUUUGAUUUUCUCCCCCUUUGUUCGUGAAGGAGAUGAGAAAUUUAUGAGUUUCAUCCCAAAUAAAUCGAGUUUAAAGAGUUGAAAGCGUGUUUGGUCGGUUCAAAUCAAGUGGGAAUCAAACCGGAUAUAACCGAAGAAAACCAAGAAAUCGAUUUGGAAUACUUACCUAGGCACAGGAUCGAUCGGUCUAUAAUUCGAGAUCAGUCUAUCUGUAUGAAAUCGACCUUUGUCGAUCGAGUGAAAUAGACCAUAUCGAUCAGUAUAUGCUCCGUGUUUUUUUGUUCCGCAUAAUGAUCAGGAUCGAUCGAUCCGUUCGACCUUGUAAUUUCAGAUCGAUCGAUCCCGCUUGAUCGAACCCAUUAUUUAAAAUUACAAUUUUAAGGGCAUUAUUGUCAUUUUGAAAAUAAUUAACUUAAUGAGAUAUAAAGUAUAUGAGAUUAGUCUAAAGUGAUAUAGUUAUCAUUUUUUUGUUUUAUAAAAAAACAAUUUUCCCAAAAAAGGGAAAUGAAGUGAAUAUGCAUGGGUUCUUUUUAAAAAAUGUUUGGGUUCAUGGACGGAUGUAUAGUUAAUUCAUUAAAACCAUAAACUUGGGGCCGGAAAGAUAGGCCCAAGGGAAGUCCAUUACACAGAUAAACAUACGAACAUAAAAUACACAAAAGAAAAGACUAUCCACACAAACCAAACGUGUAGAGCUACUAAAGCUAUAUACACAACAACAACAACAACGAAGAGAAGGUUAAAAAGAAACCUGGUAACUGUGUAUAAAAAACCAAUAAAAUACUAAACGAAAACCAACGAAAAAGCAGAAAAAAAAGACUAAACCGCAUGAUCGGUUAUUUCUUUGUACUGUCUCAGUGACUCCAUCCUCUGCAACUUCAUAUCCUCAUUAAACUUUUUAAUAAAUGCCUCAACUCGCCGAUUCAACUCGUCCUGACUCAGUGACGGCUCCUUCCUCACCUGAGACUGGUAAUGGUUAGUCAUGUCCCUAAACGUCUCCGAUUUCCUGUAAACCGGAUUCGCCUCGCCGGAAUUUCCACGGCUAAACGUGUCCGAUCUCCGGUAUAGCUGUCUGGGCAACGUCGUUGACUUACCUUCCGUUAUCAUCUUCCAAGUAUUCUCCAGUGUAUCGUUAUGCACUCUCAACACCCCUCUUCUUCCACCUUGAAAAAACACAAUGUAUUUUGUAUCUUAUAUAUCUUAUAUAUUAAGAGAGAAGUCACAACUUUAAUUCAUGUGUGAUUUUUUUUUUAAAAUAGACCUAAUGGACCUAUUACUAGAAAAUCAUGUUACAUUUAUCAUAUUAAUUGUUUUGUCAUUUAUUUUCAAAUUAAUAUCACCUAAAAUCUCACAUUACCAACUCAUCUUUUAUUAAUCGUGAUGAUUUCUCUUUACUAUAUAAAAAAUCAAUGACAUGCGUCUCAUAGACCAGAUUUAUUAUAAAAGACCAUACAUUUUCUGUUACUAAGGGUAUAUAUUAGUUCAUAAAUUUAUGAUAGUCUUACUUCAUGUGUCUCUGUCGUUUUCAUUAAAUACUUAAUCGUGUACUAUAUUUAACCAUAUACAUAUAAACGUAUCUCAUGGCCAUAACUUCUAUGACAAUGCUUGACCAAACUAACUUUGUUACUAACAGCGUUUUAUUUUUAGUAAACAUUCUUCAGUGAUAUUUGAGUUACGAUGCUCUUUGAAUUUAUUGUUGCACUUGUGUUAGCCUUAUUUGAGUUAUUGUUCUCUUUGUAUUAUAUGAUCUUUAAUUUUUAUAUACUGAAACACAUACAUCAUUUGGAGAAGAUGAAGUUAGUUGUAUUCAAAAUAAUAAAACUUCAAAUACGGGUAUAUUCAUUUAACAACAACAUUAUUUGUUGUUUGUUACAAAAAUCAUAUAUAAAUGGUAUAAUCCUAUAAUUCUAUUACUGUAACAUUAUUGGAAAACUACCAGCAUAAUAUCAAGGAAAAAUAUAUUCCAAUAUUAAAUAAUAUAAUUCAAAAAGUUACUAAAUUCAAAUUACGGGUAUAUUAUUUGCCCGCAGCUAUAUUGGUCGUAGAUUUAAAAAUUUCACUAAACUUAAAUUGAUGGAGUCCACUGGUAGUUACUAGAAAAUAGUUUCAUCUCACCAUGAAUUUCUACGUAUAUUAUAUCAUGAAUUUUGUUUUUAAUUUAACAUAUUAAAAACAGAUAUCAGUGUUUUUCGUUUAAUGUUCAAUAGUAAUAAUAUUCAAAUAUUAGUGUAGAUGAAUAUUUUAAUAUGUUCAUAAAUACAAAUAAAAUUACUAAAUAAUAAAAUAUUUAUUUAUAUUACUUAUAAUUUUAAUUAAAAAAUUAUAGGUAGUAUUCUAUUUCAAUAAAAGAAUAUAAAUACAAAUAAUAUUCAAAUUUGUUGAACUUUGCAUAUAUUAGUGAGAAAAUCUAAUAAGAUAAAUAUAUAAGUCACAAUUACAUGUAAUAGUUCGAAAAAAUUAAUUGAAUAGACAAACAUGCACACUAUAAAAUUAUUGUAUCUAAAAAAGUAUAUAAACUUUAAAUAUAUGAUUAAUUAAUAAAAAAAAUAUACCAAUAAUAAUAUAAAAACAGAUGUAUAUGUUUAUAAGGUGAAAAUAAACACUCGCACGGUUGUGCGGGUCGAAAUAUAGUUUUAUUUAAAAACGAUGUAUAAUUUUCUAUUGGGCCCUCCGAAACUUCCUUUUCAAACCACCGACGCCAAAUUUGAAUUUUCAAAAACAAUUUAAAAUCUACCUAACCGUUUGUUAACAUAACUGUCAUCAUCUUCUUCCUCUGUUUUCUUUUUCUUUUAAUGAACUUGAUAAGUAUCAAAUUCAAAAUUAAAUUUGAAAAGAAUAAGGAUCGUACCUCUUGUACUAGCUUUCACCGACUCCCGGUGGUCAAAUCUUGAAUCCUUGGGAGGGAGAUUUUCCGAUUCAGUCAUCCUUAAUGGCACAUGACUCCGAUUUGAAUUCGCCGACGCCAUCAUGACAUCCUCAUCUCCACCAGAUCCAACCAAAUCGAAAUUUUCCACCAUAAUCAAGUUCUUAAGCUCCGAUUCAUCUUCCACCAUCGCCACUGCAUCUAUUAUCUUCUCUUCCUUGGCGGCUACAAAACUGAAUUGCGCAUCCGGAUCCAAAUCCUUCACCUCCAGCAUCCGCGGAGAAGCUGAUUCAUCGCCUUCCUGUUCAUGGUGGCUAGAGUUCCGGUAAUACUUCGAAGAAGCAACGAUAGUGAUGAUGAUUCCGUUUGUGAGGACGUAGAGAUACGGCGGUUUCAGCCACGAAAGCAAAGAGCUCCACAGGACCGGAGCUUGCGACACGGAGAAGUCAACAGCCAUCAUAUCGGAACAUAGACCUUGAGCAACAGUCCGACGGAAGCGACGCCGCUCGAGAUUAGCACCGCCUUGAGAGUCAUCAGCCACGAAACCAUUUUCUCUUCUCUCUCUCUCUGUCACGAUUGUGGGGAUAUGUGUUACAACUUACAAGCUCAGGAUUAUGUUGUGAUUUAUAUAGGGAGGGAAAUUAUGUGAAGUAGCCUCUGAUUUGAUAUCUGCCGUUAGAUCUACGCUUUGAUUAAAUGGACGGUUAGAAUUAAUGAAAAACGAUUGCAAUUUUGGUGCUGUGGUUAACACAGGAAUUUUAAUUUACAUUAUCAUGAUAGUUAAGGAUGACCAUAAAAUUAAUACUAUCUCUUACAUGUUUAGAUAUGUGUAAUAAAUACUGAUGUAUGAUCGAUCACUCCCGGUUGAAAGUUACUUGUGGAAUUUGUAAAUUUAUUCUAAUGUUAAAAUGUCGGUAUGAUGAUUAUAUAGAUAGAUGACAAUAUGUUACAAGUUACAAAUUUAAUAUAAACUAGGUUAAGAUCCGCGCCUUGCGCGGGAUGAACAAUAUAUAUAUAAAUUAUUUUAUAUAUUAUAUGUUUAAAACAUAUUAUGAAAUAAUAAAUAUAUAUUGAAUAAUUAAAAAGUCAUUAUUUACUACUUAUAUAAUUAAAUUGGUGCGAACAUAUAAAUAAAUUUUAUAAAUCGAAAAAAUAUUUUUUCUACUUGAUAUGAUAUAUAAUUAAAUUUAAAUGAUAGUAACAUAUAUAUAGUGUAUUUUAAUAUUAAUAUUUAUUAGAUGAUGUUUUUUGCUCAUAUUUGUUUUUUUAUCAUUUGUAUAUGUUAUAGCAAAAAGUCUAAAUUAGUGAUAACAAAAUUUUUACUGUGAGAUUAAUGGUUUAAGUAAUUUAUAAUAUUUUAAGAAAUUAAGCAGUCAAUAUUUUUUCAAAAUUUUUAUCAAAAAAAUGUUCAAAGUAAUUUCAAAAUUAAGAUAUUUAUGUAUUUUUAUAUGGCAUAUAAUUUAAUUUAAAAUGAUACAUAUAUUUAUAUAUCUUUUAUUUUUGAUACUUAUUAAAUGAGACUUUCAACUUAUAUUAUUUUUUAAUUAUUUGUAUCAUGCCAUAACAAAAGUUUUAAAUCAUAGAUCACAAAAUUUGAAUGUAAAACUUUUAACAGUUUUAGUAAUUUAUACUUGUUUUUAAAAAUUCAAAAUAUAAUAUAUAAAUAAUUUUUAAAAUUUUUUAUUAUAUGGUUACUAUGAUUGUUUAAUUUAUUUUAAUAGCUUAAAAUUAAACAAAUAUAAUUAUAAUACACACUUAUUUUUAUCAAAUAUUUAUUAUUCAAAAUUAUUAAUUGUCAUAUACAAUUUAGCCACAUUAGUCAAUUCCGUAAUCUUAUUUAAGGAAAUAAUGAAGCACAUUAAUAAUGUAUUUAUUAUGGUUUAAUAAAAAUCUUAUUAUAUAUUUAGAUGGACCAACCUAUUUCUCUAACGAUUCUAAGAUUCAUUCUAGUUAUCACACGUGGCUACAAAAAAUGUUACAAUGCUUCUCAAAUAAUAUAUAGGGGAUAUAUAUCCACUACAAAAGAAGGAUUGUUUAUACAUGAAUGAAAUAGCUGCGAAAUUCAAUCAAGAAUUCUAGAUUAAAGUUUUUUGAUUAAAUAUCUAAAAUAUAUGCAUCACUGACAUUACAAUUAUUGUGUGUACAUUGUUUGUAUAAUAUUUGUAUUUAAAAAAAAAAUAGAAAGAAUUUUCAGUUUUUAUAAUCCACACGCAAUCCGGAAGAUGUCAUUUGAUGAUAAGUGUUUUAAAAAUUGUAUACAAUUAUAAAAUAGUUAUUCGAUCCAUUUAUAUAUAUUUUUCAGUAUUUUUUAAAAAAAUAAGGUACAAAAUUUAUUAUUUCAUUUUAUUUUAGCACAAAAUAUCAGUAUAUACAUCCAAAAACUUGAGAGGAGAUAAAACAUACAUAAUAUUUUAAUCAAUAUAAUACAUAUUAAAUUUUUAUUAUUUUAAUAGGUAUAAAAGUUUCGACAUAGCUUUAAGCACGUUUACAUUUUUAAAAUGAUUGAUUAAUAUACAUGGUAAGACAUAGUAAAUCUAUUAAAUAGAAUUCUAAUCACAAACCAAAUUAAAAAUCAAUACUGAAUUAUGUAAAAUAUCACUUUAUAGAACAUAUCAAAUGGAAAGGAAGCAAGACAAAAACCUCUCUCUUAUCUCUUCAUUAUCUUUUAGAGAAAGGUUUUGGUUUCGUCUGUUGAUCUUCUCCGGCUUCCUUUGGCCAGCGAUGAAGAUCCAGUUCUGGCAUCUGGUGACUCCCUUAGCACAGUUGGCCGGCUUUUGGCUCCGGUUGUUUGCGUCUUACUUAGGCGGAGCAAUCCAGCUUCUGGCUCCGGCGGAGCAUCUUCUUCUCCGAUGACCGCUGGCUUCGAUUCUGACGACCUUCUUCUCCGGUGGAAUCGUUGGCGUACCUCCGGGGUUUUUCCCGAAUUUUGUUCCCGUUUUGCUGGCCUUCGCAGGACGAUCUUCGGUUGGAUUUCUUCGAUCGAGUUUCCUCUGUUGUUUAGAGGUCCGAUGUUAAUGGCUAAGGCGUUUCGGCGACUGCUCUCUCAAUUUCUAUCAUCGUUCCCGUUGAUCUCUUUGAUUGGGUUCUUGUUCUGGUUUGUUUCCGGUGGAACACACGAUUGGAGGUUAUCGGAGAUGUUCUUUUCGGUGAAGUCGUCUGAUGGUGGUGUGGUUCUUAAUUGACUAAAGUCGUCCGACGGUCUCUUCUUCUGCGGCGUCCUGUUUCCGGUGUGUUCUGGUGGCCGUCUGUAAAGAUGGUGGCUGCUUUGUGUGACAUGUGUGUUUUCUUUGUUCUACGUGUUGAUCCACUUUCGUUUAUCAGUUUCGCGUGAUGGUACGUGGAAAGGCGUCUUCUUUUAGUUUUUUGAUUGGGCCGUAUUUGGUCUUUUUGUUGUUGUUGUCCAUCGGUUGGACUUUUACUGUAAUGUUUCUUACCUUUUUUAUGGACUUUUGUUUUGCUGUUUAAUAUUACUAGAUUUUUUAACCGCGCUACGCGCGGAUAAGAUAUUAUAUGUAUUUCACAAUUCUAAAAAAUAAUGUAUAAUAUUGUAUUAUAUUAUUUAAAGAAUAAAAAAUAAGACUACAUAACAUAAAUAUAUUUUUUAUUUUUUCUUUGUGAAAAUCAUUAUGUUGUUUGAUUGUUGUACUUAAUUCACAUAUUUGCAUAGAUAUUUGUGAUAGAUGAAUAACUAUAUUUUUAUUAUCAGUAAAUAAUAUAUAUUUAUCAUAUAAUAUAAGAAAAAUGAAAUUAUUUACUUUUUAACAAACUUGUCUCAUGUUGGGGACUCGGUUAUAGACAUAUCAUAUUCGAAUGAAACAUUUUUACACUUAUCAAUCUUCUUAACAAUUAAGAAACAAAUCUGAAUAUCAAAACAAUAUCUCAUACGAUCUCUUUGUGGAAUAACUGCUCUGAAGAAAUUGAAUUUAUGCAUCAAAAAAGACUGGAAAUGGAUGUGCAUAUGUGUUAUCUAAGUCAGCUUUAAAAAAAACUAUUUAUAGUUCAUAUAUCAUUUAUGUCCAUCCUAUUUUUUUGUCCAUCAUUUCUUAAACAUCUUGAAAUAAGUAAUGCUAAUUAAUAAUAAACUUUUUGCUCACAAAAUAAAAAUCAAAUUUGUUUAAUUAUCGCUUAAUUUGUCUAACUGAUAUAUGUAUUUCUCAAUUCUAAAAAAAUAAUGUAUAAUAUUGUAUUACAUUAUUUAAAGAAUAUAAAAUAUGACUACAUAACAUAAAUAUACUUUUUAAAUUUUCUUUAUGAAAAUCAUUAUGUUGUUUGAUUGUUGUACUUGAUUCACAUAUUUGCAUAGAUAUUUGUGAUAGAAGAAUAACUAUAUUUUUAUUAUCAGUAAAUAAUAUAUAUUGAUUAUAUAAUAUAAGAAAAAUAAAAUUAUUUACUUUUUAAACAAACUUGUUUCAUGUUGGGGACUCGGUUAUAGACAUAUCAUAUUCGAAGGAGACAUUUUUACAGUUAUCAAUCUUCUUAACAUUGAAAAAACAAAUCUACAUAUCAAAACAAUAUCUCAUAUGAUCUACUUGUGGAAUAACUACUCUGAAGAAAUUGAAUUUAGGCAUCAAAAAGGACUGGAAAUGGAUAUGCAUAUAUGUUAUCUAAGUCUGCUUCACAAAGUACUAUUCAUAGUUCAUAUAUCAUUAAUGUCCAUCCUAUUUUUUUGUCCACCAUUUCUUAAACAUCUUGAAAUAACUGAUGCUAAUUAAUAAUAAACUUUUGCUGGAAAAAAAAUCAAAUUUGUCUUAUUAUCACUUAAAUAUUUUAUUAAUAUGGUCUAAGAAGUUUUUAAGUGAUAUCAUAGUUUAAUUUAUUAGUUUUUUUGUUACUUUUUAGAGGUUUUUGUAUUUAAGAUUUUUUUUCAUAUUAAACUUCUAUUUCUUUCACAUAAUUGAUAUAUAUAUAUCAUAAAAAUUACCAUCAAAUCAGUUUUACUUAUUUAUUAUUUUGUUUGAACGAAAAUACACUUUUUAAAUAAUUUAAUUUAAAAUAAAAUUAUAUAUUAAUUUGCUGUAUUUUAACAAUUUCAUUGAUUUAAUUAAUUUGCUUUGGUGGAUAACUUAAAAAGUUUUCAUAUGAAUCUGGGAAAGCAAGCUUAUGUUGUUAUAUUAUAUUUAUUUUGUGUAUAUAGAAUCUAUAUAUAAUGUUAGUUUAAUAAAGAAAGAACAUUAUUUUUUUUGUAACUUCAAAAAGAUACAUUAUUAUAAUUUUAAAUGAAUCAAAAUUGAAUAAAAUGGUAAUUAAAUAUUUGUAAAUCUAAUUGUUUAGUUGGAUUCUCAUGAAAAAAAAAUCGAUUGGUUAAACAAAUGUUUUAAAAAAAUUUGUGGUAUUUUUUUGUCUAUAAAUUAUAAAAUUUAUUGAAUUAAUAUAUUUAAUUAUUGCAUCCUUAAAUAAUAUUUUAUUAAGACAUUAGAAAAAUAUGUUUGAGUUGUUUUGUCAAAUUGUACAAAAAUCUAUGCUUUUUCAUAUUUGUAACUUCAAAAAGAUACAUUAUGACAAUUUGAAAUUAAUCAAAAUUGAAUAAAAUGGUAAUUAAAUAUUUGUAAAUCUAAUUAUUUUUUUUAUCUUGUUUAGUUGGAUUCUCAUGAAAAAAAUCGAUAGGUUAAACAAAUGUUUCAAAAUUUGUUGUGUUAUUGUUUUGUCUAUAAAUUACAAAAUUUAUUGAAUUAAUAUAUUUAAUUAUUACACCCUUAAAUAAUAUUUUAUUAAGACAUUAGAGAAAUAUAUUUUAAUUGUUUCCUAUGCUUUUUCAUAUUUGUCACGAAAAUUUAUAUGUUAAACUUACUUUUACAAAAUUCUUAACUUUGUCACGAAAACAAAAAUCUAUGCUUUUUCAUAUUUGUCAACGUUCUCACACUUUCUAAGAAUAUAUUAGCUUAGUCACUUACUUAUUUUUUUUUUUUACAAAACAAAGUAUCGGAGUCUUGAAAGUUGAAUUUAUAUUAUUGUAAAUGUACAUAAGAGUUUGUGAUUAUAUACUUAGUGGUUCUUGUAUAUGUGGCCAAGAAUGUUUCAAUGGCUUAGUGGUAACUGUCCUAUAUAUAUAUCAUACUAACCCGGGUUCGAUUCUCACAUUCGCAUUGUUUUUUUUAUUUUUUACGAAAAGUAAAUGAGAUGACAUGGCAAUUUCGGGUUCUCUGAUUGGUUGAUUUUUCUAUCCUAUGUGGACAUCCUCUCCAUGGCUUAUAUCCCCCUUUUAGUAUAGUAUAUAUAAUACAGUUGACAAAAAAAAAAGAAUAUAUCAAAUAGUUCAUCUAAACUUUUCAAAUAAUAUUAGUAGAGAUAAAUUUGCGGCCGUGCGAAUUCUGCUCUAGUUUUAUUAAAUAUCUUGCUUUCUUAGAUCUCAAGCAACGACCAUUUGAUAUACCAACACCAAAUCAUAUAUUUAAUUCGUUCAAUACGCAACUCAAUAAGCUUUUCGACUGUGAAUCAGUUGUUCUUGCAUCGGUAUAAUAUAAGUUGUCAAUUUUUGAGAAUACCUAUUGAUUAUCAAUAGGGUAUAUUCCUAAGGACGUUCCAGCGUUAGUGAUGUAUAACCACUAACGAGAUUAGUCUAGAGACCAGUGAAGUGGUGUAUAUUAAUGACAUGAGUGUGCGGCCAAAUUAAAUAGUGGUACUACUUACUACAUACAGUAUAAAAUUAAACAAUGCAUUUUUUUAUUGUAGUGUUGAAGGGACAAGAGUCUUGACGCGGAAAAAGCUCAAAUAUAGCUUAUGGACUAAGCAUGUUGAUGUCAUAGUUUUCCAUAUUAUUUUGACCCAAAAAAUUUGUUUCUCAAUGGAAGUGGUAAGAUAUCACUUUUUCUAAUAGAUAUCUUAAAAUAAAUAAGUAUAAAACAAGAUUUGAUUUCGAAACUGCCGUAUACUUCCUUCGUUCCAAAAAGAUUCAUUUUUUUAGAAAAAAAAAAUUAAUUCAAAAAAUACAAUGUUUUACAUUUUCAAUGCAUAAAAUAAAUGCUAAUUGUAAACUUCGAAAAACAUAAUUGUGUUUAUUAAAAUUUUAUUGGUCAAAAGUUGUGGGAAAUAGUUGAUAUCGGAAAAAAUGCAGUGGUAACUAAAAUCUGAUAUAUUAUUUUUAAUAAGUGUGAAAAAUCUAAAAUAUAUAUCUUUCUAAAACAGAGGGAGUAUGUUUUAAAAUAAAUAAACACCACAAUUUUAGGCUUAAAGAUAGCUAAAUUAUUUAAUAUUAAUUUUCCAAAUAUAAAAGGUUGUGUAUUUGUUGUCCGCUGAGAAAAUAAGACAAUUGACAUUUUGCAAAUUCUAAAAUAUAAAAACAUAAAACUAAUAUAUAUUCCCUAUAUGUUAAUCCUGAAACAUUACGACAUGUUUUCGUUUUCGUAGCUACGUUUCAUUACCAAGAUGGUUCUUAGAAUUUUUGGAAAACCAAGUUGGUUCAUAUAAAUAUAUACUAUGUUUUUAUUAAACUAACUAUCAAAUUAAUUAGUAGUGUACAAAAUAAUAUUUUUGUAUUUCCUUAAGCAAAAACUACAAAAUUACCUAAUAUGAUUAACAUAUAUAUGACAAUUAAUGAUUAUGAAUAAUACAUAUUUAAUAACAAUUUUUGUAUCUUCUGUUUUUUUUUGUUUAAUUUAUAUUAUUAAAAUAAAUUAAGCAAUCACAUUAAGCAUAUAAUAAAAAAUAGAUUUUUUGUUAUAUAUUAUAUUUUUAAUUUUUAAAAACUACUGUAAAUUAUUAAAAAUAGUAAAAGUCCCACAUUAAAAUUUUUGUGAUCAAUGGUUUAACUUUUUUUUUUGUUCAGGCAAGAUACAAAUAUAUUGUAGGGGUGGGCGUUCGGAUAUCCGUUCGGGUAUGUAUCGGAUAUUUGGGAAUUUUGGAUAUUUCAAUAUAAAGGAAUAGAACCCAUUCGGGUAUUUCUACACUUCGUGUCGGGUUCGAGUAUUUUAUUUUCGGGCUUAGAUAUUUUGGGUCGGGUUUGGAUAUUUAAUUUUUGAAGAAAAAAAAUAAAUUAUUCAUUGUUAAGUUUUUUUUGUAUUUAAAAUAUACUUUUAACUUAACUGGUUUUCUAUUUUUAAAAGAUUAAACUAUUAAUAGGUUUGGAGAUAAAACUUUAAAAUAGAAAAACACUUAUUUAGUUGUUAUUUUGAAAUUUUAAAUGCAACUUUUGUUAAUGCAAAUAACAAGAUCUUGAUACUAUUUUAAGUGAGUAGCAAAUGAUUUUGUCCGUAAUUAUAUGUAUAUUAUCUAAUUUUGAGCAAUGUUCAUCAUUAAUAUAAAUAUUUAGAAAAAAAGAGAGAAGUAAACUAUAAAUAUAGGGCUACAUAUACUUGUGUUUGGUUAUCUUCGGAUAUUCAUUCGGGUUUGGAUAUUAUCUGUUCGGGUUCAGAUAUUACCCGUUUGGGUUGUAUAUCCAUUCUCUCCAAAUUCAAUAACCGUUCGGGUAUUUUACUACUUCGGUUUGAAUUUUCGGAUAGGAUUCAAAUACAGGCUCAUGUAUCGGAUAAAAUAUCCAGUCCUAAUAAAUCGUAUGAAUAUAAAGUCUCAGUAAUAGAUUUCAUACAUAUAUAUAUAUAUAUAUAUUAUUUGAAAUAAAUCAUAUACUCUAUAAAAUAUAUAAAUAUGUUAAUUCAAAAUUUGUAGUGAAACAAUAUUGAGAUCUUAAUAUUUAAAUUUUAAAAUUUGCAUUGAAAAAUCUCAUAUUAAAAGUUUUGUGAUUAAGGGUUUAAAUUUUUGUUACAACAGAUAUACAAAUGUUAAAAAAUCAUAUGAGUAGGAAAUGUCAAUAAUAAAUAUUUCUAUUAAAACAUAUUAUAUAUAUAUGUCAAUAUCAGUAAAGUUUAAUUUAUACCAUAUAAAGUAAAUAAAAUGAUUGUUUUGAUUUAUUUACGAAAAAUGUGAUUGUAAAUUUAUAAAAGGUAUUGAUUUUGAUUUAUGUGCUUACUUUAAUGUAUAUACUUUUAUAUAUACAAAUUAUUUUUAAAAUAGAUGGUUUCUUAUAUCUUAUUUGAUCCUGACAAUCUAGAAACACACUUCUUCAAAUUGAAGUGAUUUUUUGUAUUAGAAGCACUAUAUAUAUUAUUUCAUUCAGAUUAAAUUAUUUAGUCUUGAUUUUUAUCCCUAAAAAGCUUUUAAUGAUUUAUCAUGAAUCACCUCCUUUUGAAUUUGUUCGAAGAAUGAGAGAUUUGAUCAUUCGUCUAAUAUUUGUUUCUCCCUAAUACCCUAUCUACCUAUUAUAAUUGUAAGAAUGAGAGAUUUAAACUAUUUAUUAUAAGUUUUUUGGUUUAUCAUUUAAUACAUCAAAUAGUUUUUAGUUUAUACAUAGUUUACAUAUACUAGAAUUGUAAAGUAUUAUAUAUUAUAUAUAUAUAUAUACUUUUAAGUAACUAAACCUCAAAAGUGUAGGCUAAUAAAAUAAGUAAUUUGUUUUAUUGUUCUAGAAUUAGAUGAUUUUUAGACUGAACUGGUGAAUAUAUACUAGACGGACAUUUAUAUUUUGAGUCUGCACUUAUAUUUUAUAACAGAUUGAUAUACUAGAUUUGAACAUUAGCAUGUUAAUAGAGUUUGCCCGUGAUUUUUUUUUAAAAAAUUUUGAAUUUUAGAUAUGUAUCUGAAGUGGAACUAAUUUUUACAGAUAUCCAUCUUUUUAAAUUGACACUUAUGUAAUUUAUCGAAUUCAUAGAAGAAGUUGAAAAAAAUUAAACUCAUAUCAAUAAAACAAAGACGAAGACGUAAGCACAAUUUUAUAGAGGUAUAUAAGAAACUUAAGAUACAAAUUAUUUGUAAUUCAUGAAUGAUAUAAAUUAGCGAAUAAUUGAAGAAAUGUGUAGAGAGAUAUGAAGCUUGCCAAAAAAAAAGAUAUGAAGCUUGCAUGUUACCGCGGUAACAUAUGGGACCGUUAUACGAGGAAAAUUCCUUCUCCGUUUGGGUCAGCAGUGAAGCCUCACACCGCUCGUGCCCAGCUGUAUUGCUCAGUGACCCAACUCCAAAGUUUUACUUCGCAACUGGCGCCACAACUUCCACCAUCUUACUGAUUUUUUUUUCCGUCAAAGGUUUUUAAUAUUUGAAAGAAACGGGCCAAGCCCAGUACAAUAUAUUAACAGAAGCCCAACAACUAUUAGGACACCCUAUUUUCUCAAAUGGGCUAAAACCUACGGCCCACUUCGAGAAAACCCUAGAGAACGAGCGGAAAUGAAUUCGGCCGCCUCUCUAAUCCCACUUUUGGCCGCUUGUACACGUGUUGCCAUCCUCAUCCGCGAGGGAACACGUGUCACCAGGUCAGCGCAAUACCACCGCGUCUCGUCGUCGCCGGAGAUCCAACCUUCGGAUCACACGGCCAAACCGGAGCUCCAUCGCUCCGUUCCUCUUUACCUUCAACCAACUUUGGGCCUCUCAAACUGGAGAGGCUCAAUCGCCGUAGCGAGAGCUCCUCCAUCAUCAUUAACCGCCGAGACCCGCCAGAGGAAUCGCAUGCAUCCUCACUCUUUCCGCCGGAGUUCUUCCAUCUCCUCCGACGAACACACCAUCAAACAGAAACAACCAGAACUAAAGCCAGACCGAAGAAAAAAGAAAUAAACUAAACCCUGGAGAUUAGGAGCCACAAGCCGGCGACGCAAGGUUGAAGAAGCCUUCACCCCCCGGAGACUAUAUCCAAUGACAGCGGAACUGAAGGAGCUUCCCCGCCACGAAGACAAAAGACCGGCGGCGACGGAUCUGCGAUAGCCUCCGCCUCCCGGAGAUAUUAUUCCGAACACUAAAGUCUUCUCCGCGUCAUCUUUUCAGCCACCGCGUUGUUACUCUGGUCCGCCACCAACCAUCUUACUGAUUAUCUACGCACUUUUUGUUUUUAUAAUAAUGUUUAACCAGUCAGUGUCAUUGUCUCAUUGCGUACAAAAAUACGUAUUUCUAUGUUAUUUUCUCUUAUGAACAAGUAGAAAAUAACGGAAAUCAUUAUUUAUAGUUAUGUAGGUUUAUGUUCUUAAUAGAUUAAAAGUCUUUUUAUAUUUCUAAUUCAAACUUUCACUUCAGCUCUUAAAUGCGCUAUACCAUCAGCUCGAUAAGGCACGUGGUCCUGAUCCUGAAAACAUCAUUAUCGGAAUAUUGUGUUGAAGAAAAAAAAAAGAUAUAAUCAAGUCUGUUAAUAAUGUUUAGGAGUUCUUUUAUAUAUUUGAAAGGGACUAUCUUAUUGAAACGAAAAUUGUAAAGUCUAAACGCGUGAAGUGCCCACUAAAUUUCUUUUUUCCUUUAGUUUUAUUGAUCACUACAAACUUGAGAAGAUAACUUAUUUUCAUUUUCACCAUUAUAAAAGGAUAAACUUAUUGGUCGGUCUACUAAAUCACAUUGACGUACGUAGGGCUUUUGUAUGUGUGUAUGUUUUCCGUCAACAUAUAUAUAUAUUGCUUAUUUAUGUAAUUUUUAUCCCUUUUUCAUUAAUAAAAUAUAAUAUUAUAAGAAUACUGAAAUGACAAUGGCAAAACAACACUGGAAUCACAAAAUGGUUACGGAAAUAACCAAGUGUGUAAAACAAAUUUAAAAUGGACUUAACAUUAAAUAUUUCCUGAUACAAAAUUUUGUUCUGCAAGUUUUUUUGCGAAGUAUAAAUAGAAAACUGAAAUAUGAAAAUUUUGUUUUAUUUAGGAUUUCCGUGGAAUUAUUUUUAAAUAUGAACGUAUAUACGCUAUUCAUUUUUUAAAGCUAUAGUGUUAAAAAAAAAGCUACACGCCAUCUUUCUAUAAAUGAAUUAUUCAUUGGCUAAUAUAUUAUCACCGCUCUAUAAUACUAUACAAUUAGGUAAUAACCCGCACUUUGUGUAUGACGUGAUAAUUAAUUUUGUUAUUCUUUUAAUAAAAAGACAUUAAAUGUAUUUAAUCUGAAUAUUAGUUCGGUUUUAGGUUGGUUUUAUUUAGUUUUUAAUCUCCUAAAAUAUAGCUAUAAUUCAUAUCAAUAUUUAUUUUGGUUUGUUCGGUUCAAAUUGUUGAUGUUUUUGGUUUUUUGCUGAUAGCCAAAAAUUAUUAUUAUUUGUUAGAUUUCAGGUUAUAUGAAUUUUAGAUAGUCUUGAUGCCGAUUCAAUGGUUUCAAAUUAUAGUUUCUAAAAAUAUAAUAGUUAAAGAAAAGGAAAAAAAAUUAUUAAGGCAAAUCAUUUCACUACAAUUUGGUCAACAGUAAAAGAAACAUUAAAAAAAAUAUUUCAACUUCCAAGAGAAUUAGAUACUCCACUUGUGGUGAAUAUUUAGUUAUAUAGGUGUUCAUGUGAAUGUUCAUAUAUAUGUGUAGUAAAGUAUAAAAGUGGUUGGUAAAAUAUAUAAAGAUACUGUUAAUAUUAAAUGAAAUUUUUAUUCAAAAUAACACAUGAAAAAAAAAAUCUUAAAAUAAAAUUAAUUAAAAUUAAAAUAAAUCAAGACAUUAGUGAAUUUUCUUUCAUAUAAAGAAAAUGAAAUUGUAUAUGUAAAUAGAAGUGGACACGGAUCAAAUAUCUGGUAUUUGGAAGUAUUUAUGUCGAUUUGAUCCGUAGCCACCCGGAUAUACGAUAUCGAUAUCCGAAAAUUUUAGAAUUUUCACGGAUAUCCGAUUUGAACCAAAAUUAAAUUUUAAAAAUAAAUAAAAAAUCAAAAAAAUAAUAUAAAAUAAUAAUAUUUCAUUACAAAAAUAUAUUGUUAUGAAAAUUUUAAACUCCAAUACCUAAUAUAAUAAAUUUAAUACAUAAAAAUACUGUAAAAAUUAUAUAAACUAUAAUAUAUAUAUAUAACUUAUCUAUAUAUAAUUCUUUAAAUAUAUGUAUAUAUAUAUGCAUAUAACGGAUAGAAUCAUAUAUAGGUUCCUAAACAUAUUAGUAUUUUUAUUUGCUUUUUUUUUACAUAUAUUGCGUUUUAGUAUUUGACUUUUUUCGUAGUGUUACGGAUAUCCGGAUUUUUUGGUUCUAAUCAAAAUGGAUAACGAAUCAAAUAAAAAAUUUAUGAAUAUUUUGCUAAGCCUAUCCGUAAAUAAUAAAAAUAAUAUAUAUAUAACUGGACUUUCGAUUCAUUAUCUGUUUUGAUUCGAAUAAAAAAAUCUGGAUAGUAUGAGUUUUAUUGGAACCUUACAUGUGAGUUUUAUAUUUAAAAACAAAACGUAAAGUACAUAGUGUGAACAUAUUUAUAUAGAAUUUGACUGAAAAACUCUAUACACGUGACAUCUCAGCGUGCUCAUUCUCAAAUCGCUGUGAGGCUGUCGCGUGUCUAUUAUAGUAAUGUAUACAUCGAUCAGGGCCGUGCCUGAUACCAAGCCCAUCAAGCAUUGGCUUUGGGGCCAACAAGAGAAUAUUUAUUUUAGGGGCCAAAAAUAAAUGAAGUUUCUCUCUAGUUCUGGUGGUAAGAGCUAGAUAUAUAACAGUGAGAGGUUAUGGGUUCGAAUAACAUGGGAACACCUUUUAAUAUUUUCAUGUUUUAUUAAGAUUAUGGGCCAAAAAAUUUUUUUUUGCUUCUGGGCCCGAAAUUGUCAGGCCCGGCCCUGACAUCGAUAUUAAGUUUCCAAAGAUAUUUUCUAGCUCAUUCUUCUUCAGUGGAAGACAAAUUCUCUAUAACAUGUAGUCGUAAUGGUUAAUUAAGAUAUAUAGCCAUUUGAGAUAAAAUGCGACACAAGUAACUACCAAACGAAGGAGUUUUUGUUAGCAACGUCUCAGUAGAGCAACUCUCGUAAACCAUAAUUAUUUAGGAUGAUAUGAAUGAUCUACAUGUAUAUGUAUUUGUAUGCCCGCUGAGCUUAUAAUUAAAAGCAUAUUAUAAACACGAUUUGAUCGAUGACAAAUUACAACACAAAUCAAGGCUGGACCGAGGCGUCGCAAAUAGCUGCACCAGAAGCUCAAAUAUCAUAAAGCUUCGUUUUUACGUUCAACUAUUUUAGUUUGCUGAAUCAUUUCAAAAGACAGUUUACAUUUCAAAAGACAGUUUACAUAAAUUUUCGUAGAAAUAGCCAAAGAGCAAAACGACAAGUUUCAACUGUUAAGUUGACAAAUGUUUUUGAGUGAUAGGUAACUCUGUCAGUUUCGUCCAACGGUAUAGACUGUAUCUGUGUUUGUCAACAUUUAACUCUCUAGAGAAUCUCUCCAUGCGAUAGUAUUCACACAUAGGAGUUGGAUGGUCACUUUUUUUUUUUUUUUGGAUGGUCACAUUCUUGUCGCGAUGGUUUAAAUGUUUAGAAGAGUAAAACUCAACGUGUCGUUUUACGACGUUAUGAUUGGGAGUCACGUAUGUAUAAUGCCAUCUCGAAGGGGUAACAUCCCGUGGGUCAAAAUGGUUUGAGGAGAAUCUAUCUGAAGAUACGUUACUUAUUUCACCGGCCAGAGCUAACUAGAUAUGACACGUGUAGCUAGAGCAAACUUGAUCAGAGAUUUUCGACAGAGUUGAUGCGAGUAAUUUACGGAAGUGAUAAAACGGACAAGUAUAGUAAAUGGUGAUAGAUACUCAUCGUUGACUGGUUCUAUUAAAACAAAGAGAGGAAAGUAUUUAUAUAUUUUUUGAAAGCCCUUUUUCAAAAAAAAAAAAAGUAUUUAUAUAUUUGUAUUUGAUACCAAAACAUACGACAAUAUUCGGUAGAUAAAGCAGUUUACCAACUAAACUAGGUGAUGAUCCGCACCCUGCGCGGAGCGAAUAAACAAAAGCGAUUUUUAUUUUUUAAUUUAUUGAUAUUAAAAAAUUUAAAGUUAUAGGCACAAAUAUUAGAUUUAAUGAUAUAUAUCAAACGAAAUUCUGCAUGUAUAUAUAAUGUAAGCUUAAUUGCUUUUUUUUUUAGAAAAGUUUGUGUAAUUGGUUAUGUGUAAAUUAAAUAUAUUGUAUAUAAAGGUGUAUAAUAAUAUGCAAUAACUUAUAUUAAUUUAUUAUAUAUUUAAGACAACACAAAACAUAGAAAAUAGAAUUACUGCUUUCAUAAUAAAAUUAUAAUUAUAAAAUUAAAAGAAAUAUAUGUAAUAGAAAAAUAAAAUACGAAAGAAACAAAUUAUAAGGAAACAAAUAAAAAACUGAUAAAACCAAAAUGCCGUGAAAAAGGUCUUUAGAACUCCUGGUUUGCAAUCCUAUAGAGAGAAAUAAAUAAUAAUUAAUUUACCAAACUAAACAUACCUACUUACCAAAUUCACUAAACGAAUUGAUAUACCUCUUUCUGAAAGCAUCGAUUUCUAGAACGUCAUUGAGUUCAAAAAUAAUUUUGGAAAACCAAUCAAUGUUAAUCAUGUUGAUGUUUGCUUGAGAGAAUGUUUAGAUAAAUAGGGAGUAGAAAAUAAGGAUGUGGUGAGUUUAUGAAUUGUGGAUAACAUAUAUUUAUAUUAAGAAGUCAAACCAGUGUAGGUUUAAUGAAACAAAAUCGAUUCGCCGUAAUUAAUACUGAUAUUACCUAUUUAAUUUUGCAUAACUUGCGCUCCAAUUAUAAACUAAACUUAUCAUAAUUUUGUAGACACUAUAAUCAAACUUCUAUAUAUAUGACAAAAUUGAGAAAAAGUUUGCAAGGCGCACAAUUAUUAAUUAAUUCAAAUAAUUUUAAUUCAUAAUCUAACUUCCUUAUAUACAACAGUCAAUUAUUUGAAAACAAUUGUAACCAUAAUUGACUCCUUAUUAUAUUAAAAAAUUUAUCAAAUUGAAUGUGUAACAGAUUAUUGACUCAUUAUUAACGUUACCAAAAUAAUUAAAUGGUACCAAAAUCGUAAAUUAAAAAUAUAUCAAAGUUAUUAGAAGUUUCGUUUUUAACAAUCGUGUGCCCGGUUUUCCUUUCAAAUCACGUUUCUUUAAUAUCACCAAGAUUUGAAUUUGUAUUUUAAUAUUGAUUACAAUAAGUUUAAAUUUUAUAGGCUCCAGAAUUUCUAUAUAUGUCCUUUAACGGAUUUAUAUGGGUUUUCUAUGGUGAUGACAUUAUAUUUAGACAUUGAAUUUGUAUACACUAUAGUUAUACAUUAUACUUAGAUUGCGUUUAUAUAUAUAAUGUCUAACUAUAUAUAAAAUGAUGUAUGAUAAAUAAUAUUUGUAAAAAAAAAACAAUAUUUUUGUGAAGAUACUACAUAGGACCAGGCCUGUCUAGAACAAAUAUUUUUGAUCUAGGGUUUAGUGUAUAAAUCGUUACAGUCCUCUUCAUGUGUAUAGCCACUCACAAAAUCGUAAUCUCAUAUAUAAUUACCUUUGUAAAUAUAGGAAAAUAAUAAUGACAGCAUUAAAACGUAGACGUGUUAUUUUUUUUGUUAGUCAAUAAUGAAGAAGCUUAUAUUAUAUUAGUCAAAUUAUAAUUUAAUGAUUAAUGGUAAUUUUUGUAAUUACUCUAGUUAACAAAGGAUUUUUAAAUAUAGGAUGUGAGAGAGCUUGUGGUGCUGCCACGUAGGAAAUUACAAUAUUGAAAAUAACACAUAAACUUAAGGUUAAUUCUCUAUAAUGCUCCUCAAAUAAUAUAAAAGGGAUAUGAAAACGUGUGUUUGGUAUGUCGAUAUAUACGGGUACGACGUAUUUAAUUACUUUCCUUUUUUAAUAUAAACAAACCGGCCCGAACCGGAAAUCUAGUGUCGAUUACAAAGUUUGAGUGUGACAAAAUUUCUUGUUUGUUUACUACUAGUUUCCCUUCCUUACACAUACCUAGCCCGCAUGGUCCGCUAACAAGCUGGUAAGGACAUCUCCGGAAUCGUUUCCCAUUCUCACCCUGAAUAGAGAUAGCUCGAAAAGAUGAAAUUAAUACGGAAUUAGCUAGCUUGCAGGACCUUUAAGAGAUUUCUCGAUCUUAGUUCCCUUCCAAUUAGAGUAGCUAGUCCCUGAUGACUUCAUCUAGCCUAUAACCUAUCCGUUCUAUGAAGCUUCAAUGAAUUUCCUAAUCAUUUGAAAUGAUGGUUUAUUUGUUAUGUACAACAUCUUUUACAAUUCUUAAAAGGAACACCUUUAAAGUAUAAGGAUAGAUGGGUUAUGUAAACGUUUUGUCGGUGGUGCUGGUCUUGCAUUUCUAAUCCUUGAGCUGAAAUCUCAUUCAUCUUCAGUUAUCAUAUUAUGCAUUAUAAUGCAUGAUGCCAUUAUAUUAUGUAAUACCUCUUUUUCCAAUAACGUGAGGAUCCUGAAACAUAGCAAAUUUGGAUUGUAAAACUCAGAGAGCUCGUUCAACAUCUUUCCGACAUGAUUCUUGUCUUGAUGUAAGCAAUUUUGGACCUUGGGAAUCACAUAUUAUCUGGACAAUUGUUGACUAUUUAGGAUAUAUACAAUUAGCUAAAUAAUAAUUUAUGCAAUACUCUUGUCCUUGAAUUGUGUAAUUAGCUGCAGGAGCGGUACCUUGAAAAAUGAAAAUACAUUAAAAAAAUUAAAACAUUAAUAUCAUUGUUGAUGCGUGGCAUUCAUAAAUAAACAUAUCAUAUUAUGUAACCGCUUCGAGAAUGAUAGUGGGUGAACCGCUAUGACCUGAAAAUUCCCCUACACACGCAGGUAGACAAUUUUUCACUUUCACUGCAUACAAUCAAUAUUUUCUAACAUUCCAAGAAUCAUUUCUGGCCAAUAUUGAGAAAUUUGGAAACGUCCUAUGUUGUUGCUAACCUGACAUACCACUCUGAAAACACAUAUAUUAUUGAACGACAAAACCAUUUUAUGCAUUCAAUUGCUGUAGACUCCCCAAUUUGGAUGUAUUCAUCUGUCGCAUCAUCAGACAUGCCAUAUGCCAAGAUCCGAACAUAUAGCAGUUGUUACCUUUUAUAAAGUUGAUUAUUCAAGUCUACCAGAUGCAUCAUCAUUGGUCGAAGAGUUGGGUGAUCCAAAUGCAAAAUAUGCAUACAAGUGGUGCAUCCAUACAAGACGUUGUAAGUAUAAAUCAAUUAAUGUGUGUUAUUUAGUUAUUUUAUUAUUUAUAUAUUAAUAUCAAUAUUUUUGUUCCAAAAAUAUAAUAGAUGGUGUAAGUAAAAAACAAUAUUGGUGCAAGAUCUAAAAUUAAAAAGGUUUAAAAUUUGAUCAUGUGUGGAUAUUGAAAUUUUUUACAACGUUUUCAGACAAUGUGAAUAUCGGUAUUUUGGAUAAUGAGAGCGGCAUCGACGAUUUUCCAACAUCACAAUCUCCUGGAUUUUCUUUAUUUUAUAUCAAUUUAUGCAGUGAUGAUGGUAGUUUAAAUUCAUCACAACAUCCUAUUGGAUAAAAGAAAGCAAAACUCAAAAGAAAACUUGCUGAAGGUAAUAACUCAUCUACGGAUAAUUUGGUUUAAUCAAAUGAACAAGUCAAAUAGGAAAAAAACUAUGAGAUAGUUAAGUUACACAAGCAAAAUCAAGCUAAAAUAUUAUGUCUAAAAUAAAUAAAGAAAAAAAAUCUUGUUGGCAAAUUUAAACUUCAUUGAUGAUAGUAUCACUUGCCAGUUUAUCCGAUCUUAUUAAGCAAGAAUCAUAAAAAAACUCAACAACAACAAUCUGAGACUGAUCCAGUUGUAUGGAUAUUAUUUUGGUGAUCACGGAAAUUCGAGAUCAAAUUUACCUGAAUAUUGGUAUUGUAAUAUAUAUUAAUCUGUGUCAUAUUUCCAGCUUAUUAUGUAAUUUUUAUUUUGAUGAAAAAUAUUAUGAUUGUAUUGUGAGUUUUAAUUUGUGUAAAAUUUCCUAAAUAUAAUAUUAUUGUUGUGUGAAAUAAUAUGUUUAUAUAAAUAGGACAAAGGUAAAAAAAGGUAAAGUAUUUUAAGGGAAGUGAAUAGUAUCUCCUCAGAUUUGAGGGUGUACAAUUUACCCAAUUAAAAUUUGAAGAGGUAAGAAGAGAAUGUCCAAAAAUUGCUUUUUCAUAAGAUUUUCAAAAAAUCAAUACUAUUAAAAGGGAAUGAUUUUUUAAAAAUCUACCUAUGAAAGGUUGUUGGACCCUUUCAUUAGUAUUUUGUAGACCAACUAAAUAAUCUCCCUAAAUAUCUCCUAAUAAUUAUCAUAUGUAUAAUUCUGAAUUCAAAUAUCAUUAAUAUCCUUUUUUUGUGCAACCAUCAUAAACAUCCUUAGAAUAUCAUAAUAUACAUCUACGACAGCUACAUAAAUAUUCGUUGAUAGUAUUACUUUUAUUUUUCUACGUAAUAGUUGCCAUAUGUCAACAACAAGAUGUUACCAUAUAUAAUACAUUAGUAUUUCAUGAGAAUUAUAGUGUCUUCAUUCUAAUUUUAAUCGACAGCUAAAUACAUCACCAAAACCGAAAUUAUAUCAAGACAUAAUCAUAAAACUUUAUGUACAUAUAUCUAUACUAAUAAAAAAUGAAUCAUUCUUAAAAUCUACUAUAAAAAGAUUGUUGAACCAAUGUAUAACUAUUUUAUUAUAUUGAUCCUACCACUAAUUAUUGAAUACUUCAAAUGGCUCCUAUUAUUACUCCUUAGUUCAUGUGAUACACUUCUUUUCUAAAAUAUUUUAACACCUCUACAAUUAUGGUUGUUAUGAAAUAUUUUUAUACAAUGACAGAUCUUGGAAACUUUUUAAUUGGGAGCACAACUAAAAACUUAUAAAUUUGAUGGGGCAUUAUCAUAGAAUUUGAGCUCAUUACUUCAAAAAAACUCAAGAUUUGAGCUAAAUACUUAAAUAAAAAAAAUAGACCUACAUCCGGCUCUGUUGUUAUACACCAUAUUUUAUGCUUAAUAUAAACCUACAGAAUUUACACAUUAUUACCAAAAAUAUAAUAUUACCAAAAAUAUAAUUUAACAAUUUUGAAAGUUUACCGAAACCCAAAACUAUAGCCAAAAAUCACAUUAGAAACUUAAAAAAAAUAUUUGUAAUACUGAAAACAUAUAUGAAAUACCAAAAUAUACAUAAUAUACAUAAAAUAUUUUAGGUACUUUGGGUACCCGAACUUGAAUAGAGAUCCACAGGUCCAAAAAUAAUACCUAAUAGAUUUUUGCUCCAUUCAGAACCUAAACCUGUAUUUUUGUAUUAGUUUUAGUUCAGUUUUUGGGUCUGGGUAUAUAUAAGAUACAAGAGUGUACAUACAAAAAUCUUAAAUAAACUAAUUCAUAAUUUAUGUAAUUUUUUUAAAAAAAUUCCUUACUCGAUAUUACGACUUAAAAUAGUAAUAACAACAAUAAUAACAAUAAUAAUAAUUAUACGAUUUUAUAACAUAAUAAUAUGCAAAAUUCCAAAAUAUCGGAUUUAUAUCAAAAAAAUUUUAUAACCUAAAUAAACCCGCGCUUCAAAAGCGCAGGUCAGAAUCUAGUUAAAUAUUAAAAUAAUAACAUUUGGAGAGAGAGUAUCAUGUAAAGUUCUCUGCACAAGAUUUCUAAAACUGUUUUAAAACUUGUGUUGCCAUAUGUUAUGAUAUAAAUGGCUUCUCAUUUACAAAUAAAAUAAAUUUUAGUGAGACAAUUCUAUUAUUUUAUUAAUAUUAUUAUUUAAUGGUUUAUAUGCUGAGAUUUAGAACUUCAACUUUUUUUUUUUGGUAAAAAUGUUAAUAUAUUAGUACCAAGGUUUUUCGUUUUUGACAGAAUUACAGCAGCGACAAAAAACGGAGAAAGAAAAUAAGAACCUAAACACGGCCACAAUCUUAACUAUAACGAGGCAGACAUAACAACCACAAUUGAAACUCCGAAGCUCAACCAAGUCCGCACCAACAGCUUGCCGCAAAAGGAUGAGCCAAGUUCAACCGAGAGUCGAGAUCCCGGUAAUUUUGGCCUCUCCGGUGAUCCGCUCUUAAACGUAAUGGGCCAACCGAGAAUAGCUCGCCGAGGGCUUCAAAGCACCUGCCUGCAAGAAUAUAAAACCACAUCGAUUAAAUCAAGAAAGUGCAAGUUCAAGCACUGUCUCGAAUUUGGAUCGUGAAGAUCUUGGGGAUGUUACUGCAUUUCAGAUGAAUGCUGGCGAAGAUCUCGACUAGGAUGAUCUCACUUAAAGAUUCUCCUCUUUGUACAGAUUAAGACUCCUACAGUUUUCUUAUGUUCAAGCCAGAGUACUUAAAGAAAGUUAUCAUUUUGGUCAGAUCCUUGGUUAUGUGAAUGAUUUGAUUAUAAAGGCUCUGAAUUCAGUUUUGUGCUUUUUUCUAUACUAAAACCCACUUGAGCACUCUUUCAAGCCUUUGUUUUAAUUUGUUAAAUCUUCUGGUCAUACAUGUUUAACAUAUGCUGGUAAUUUCUUCUGGUCAUACAGUGUAAUUAGUAGAAUUAGGCAUUGGGAAUUUGAUGGAGGAUGACCCAACCUCCUUGGUGUUAGCCUCGGAUUCUUCUUUAACGUCUCCUAUGGUAAUUGAUAUUCUGCGGUUGUCUUCUCACAUACUCGAUUUGAUAUCUCUCGUGUUUGCUCUGAUACCAAAUAUAUAAUCUCGAUCUCAAGAACACAAAAUAAUAACUCAAACUCAAACUCUUUAUUGCUUUAGAAAACUCACUCAAAAACUAAAGCUCUCAACUCUCAAAACUUAUAAGUUUUGCUACAACCUAGCAUCUCCUUAUAUAACCACAUAUCUUUUCUAAACUCAUUAGGUAAACACAUAUUGAAAAUUUCUUAAUCUAUAACUCAAUAGUAUUAGGUUGCUUGCUUCUCAAGCUACUUCAAGCUUAUCUCAACAUGCUUCAAUUAUUUCAUGAUAAUCUGAUCUAGCGACGACCUCUUGUACUUGUAAGUCCCGAACAGUUCUCAUUGCCCAUCUGUUACCCUCAGUUCAGCUAUCAUUCGAUUAGGUGAUUGAGUGAUAGCAUCUCUUGCAUGGUGCGUAACUUGCCAUCAUGAUUUCGUGUUAUCCACGCUCUAUGUAAGUGAGCAUUUCUCCAGUUCGCAUUGAUAUUCCACUUUACGACUCCACUGAGUGGAGGAGUCCAUUUAUCAUGGUUUCCAAAUCCACAGCCAGCCUAUUGUUGGGCAGUCAUAGUAAACCAUUGCCCAACUUCAUCCUUCAUGUUUUUUUUAUCACUCUUUCCACCAACUCCUGGGCUGAAGCAUAGAGAAUAUAGUCCCAAGUAACCAUGGAAUGGAACCAAGCGUAUCACCUUGUGUGGCUUAUUUCGGUCUUCCAACAGGUUGAACACAAAAGUGCAGUUCAAUUCAAACGAUUAAUGCAUAACUGUACUGCAAAGGGUAAUACCUGCAGUCAGAUGACCAUUUGAAAUUCUUUUCAUUUUUGUCUGUAGGAUUCAUGCUUUUCUGAAAAUGAUCAGAACAUAACUGCUAUCAGGUUGCUCGCAGCCUAUAAUGAAAGCUACAUCGAUCAAAUCAAGAAAGUGCAAGUUCAAGGGCUGUCUCGAAUUUGGUGAAGAUCUCGACUAGGAUGAUCUCACUUAAAGAUUCUCCUCUUUGUAAAGAUUAAGACUCCGACACUUUGCUUAUGUUCAAGCCAGAGUACUUAAAGACUGCUAUCAUUUUGGUCCGAUCCUUGGUUAUGUGAAUGAUUUGAUAUGAAGGCUCUGAAUUAAGUUUUGUGCUUGUUUCUAUACUAAAACCCACUUGAGAACUCUUUCAAGCCUUUUUUUAAUUUGUUAAAGUCUUCUGGUCAUACAUGUUUAAUAUAUGCUGGUAAUUUCUUCAUUUGCGGUAAUGUUAGCGAAACCAUCGUAAAUCUGCGUAUCAAUAUCAUCUUCGUAACUAGUUUUGUUGUUCACUGCUAUAGUUUCACUCUUAUUUCUUUUAUGAACACCAAAUAACCAUUUGGAUUUUCCAGACACAGUAAAACCUCUAUAAAUUAAUACUCGAUAAAUUAAUAAUUUCUAUAAAUUAAUAAAUUUUGUCGGUCCUAACUUGGGCCGGUUCAAAAUUGACAUAAAUCGAUAAAAUAAUAAGAUAAUUUUUUUUUAGAAAAUUAUAUGUAAAUAUAUGGUCCCAUUAAAAUUAUGAAUUAAUAAUUUAUAUGUAUACAUAAUAAAUUAUAUUGUUUGUUUUAUAUUCACAAUGAAAUUAUUUUUAUAUUUUCUUAACAGUUAAUAUGUUUUUGAUGAGAUUUAGUGUUAUUAUAUCGAAAACUAGUUGAUUAUCCGCACCUUGUGCGGACUAAUAAUAUAUAUAUACUUAACAACAUUUGUUUCAUAGUUGUAUUUAUGGGAUGUAGAUGUUGGAAAAAUCUUAUAGUAAUAAUCUAAUUAGGAAAUUUCGAUUUGAAGUUAAAACUUUAUAUAUAUAUAAACAUUAUUCAACUUUGAUAUUCAUGUUGGUAAUCAAUGUAUAUAAACUAUAUAUAUAUAUAAUUAAUGUAUUUGUUGACUGAAAAGACAAGAAUUAUAAACAAUCACAACAUAAUAUUGGUCAUUAAAAUUGGUAGAUAUUAUUAAUAUCAAUUGUCAAUAUUUAUUUAUUAAUUAAAUGUUCUAAAUAUCUUGAUGAGUUUAUAUAUUAAAAUAUAUAUAUUUAACCAACAGUAUAUAUAUCAGUUGAAUAAGUUAAUAUUUAUUCAUUAUCUUAAAUAUCAUUAUAUUUAUUAAUUAAAAUUGUAAAUAAUUAUAUUAAUUAAAUUAAUGAUUUAUACUAAAAUCAGGAUUAUAUUAACUAAAUUAAUGAUUUUUCCUAAAAUCAUGGAGAAGAUGACAAGUAAGCAAAUUUACUUCUCAAAUAAUAAUAAUAAUAAUAAUAAUAAUAAUAUAGGUGGAUAUUUAUUUAUUAAUUAAAUGAUCUUAAUAUCUUGAUAUGUAUAUAUAUUAAAAUAUAUAUUUUAAAUAAUAGUAUAUAUAUAUAUAUCAGUUGAAUAAUUUAAUAUUUAUUGACUAUCUUAAAUAUCAUUAUAUUUAUAAAAUAAAAUUUUAAAUAAUUAUAUUAAUUAAAUUAGUGAUUUAUCCUAAAAUAUAUUUAUUUAUUUAUUCAAUGUUCUAAAUAUCUUGAUAAGUAUAGAUAUUUAAAUAUAUAUAUAUAUAUAUAUAUAUUUAAAUAACAGUAUAUAUAUAUAUAUCAGUUGAAUAAAUUAAUGUUUAUUGAUUAUCUUAAAUAUCAUUAUAUUAACUAAAUAAAAAUUAAAAUAAUUAUAUUAAAUAAAUUAAUGAUUUAUCUUAAAAUUAUGGAGAAGAUGACAACUACGCAAAUUCACUUUUUAAAUAAUAAUAUAUAUAUGUUGUCAAAAAAACAAUAUAUAUAUAUAUAUCACAUUUAAGUUCUAUGCAAUAUAUAUUAUAUACACCAAAUAAUAUAGUAAAAUUAAUAUAAAUUUCAUAUUUCAAAAAAGAAUAAUUAAUUCUUUAUACUAAAAUCAAAUAUUUUCUUAUCUUAGAAUAAAUAUAUCUUAAAAUAAGAAUUUUAAUUAAGAAAUUUUUUGAAAAUUAAUAUUUCUAUAAAUUAAUAAAAUUUCAAAGUCCAAACAUUAUUAAUUUAUAGAGGUUCUACUAGUUUUUUUUUUCAAAUUUUGUUUUUCCAGAUAUCUAUUUACCACGAACAACUUUGUACGUGAGACAUGAAUGAAAAGGAAGGAAAUUUAGACAUAAAUCAUAAUUCCAUUGAAGACAAACAUGUAUAGUACUUUUGUUGAUUAGUUUUUUUUCUUGGUUUAAAUUAUAGUUUGAUUUACUUAAUUUAAUUUGUUGGUCAGAAUGAUUUUGGUUUAAUUCAAUUGAAACUAUUGUUCUACUAAAAAAAAUCAUAAUUUAAUGGUUAAAUUAAUCAGGUUUUCAAUAACCAGUGUGGUUACCUGUGGCCAAAGAAUUAACAAAUAUGUAGCCAAUGUAAUUUUUUUUGUCAAAUUGCAUUAAAUAUGUGGUCAAUGGAUAAAUAAAUUUAUCAAAAUAUAAAAUCAGUCAAAUUAAGUAAAUCUGCGAUCAAAAGAUAAUAGAUGUAUCAAAUUCAUAUUAAAUCUUUUAAAACCUAAAUAAAUCUGUCAAAAAUAGGUAAAUCAAUGGCCGAAGAAAAAAACUUAAUCUAUCAAAUUUUAUAAAAAUCUGUUAAAAUUAAGUAAAUUUGUCGACAAAUAAACUAAGUUUAAUUAAAUUUGUAAAAAACAUCAUAAAUCUGUGACCAAACGUGACAAAUUUGUAGAAAUCUAAUUAGUUUAUAGCAUUUAAGAUAAAUCUGUCACAAAAAAAUAAAAAUAAGUUUGUAAUUACAUAAAACGUGAACAAAAUAAGUCAACUAGUAAUGUAAUUUUCGUAGUUAUUAGUUUUAUAUCAAAUGAGCUAGGGGUAAAACAUGUACGAAACUAAAUUAGUAAUUAUAAUAAAAUUAGAGUCUUUCUAGUAAUCAACUAAUGAAUUAGGGUUGAACUAAAAUUUCCCCUUAAUUUAUUAAAAAUAUAAUUCUAAAUAUUUAAACUAUCUUUCUUACGUUGUAUUCCGCCUAAAAAUGUUUUUGCUGUCAACUCUCUUAGCGAUUCCAGUGAUCACUUUCGGCAAUAUGGACCAUUUCAUUUGAUGAAAAAAAGAUAUGAAGAAGAAAAAAAAGGAAGAAGAUUGUUGAACCAAAAAAGUUGAAUCAAUGUGAUUCAAUGUCACUCAAUGUCAAAAACAAUAUCAGUUUAGAUAAAAUCAUAAGGUUUUCUCAGAUUUAAAACAUAGAAUGCAUAUCAAAAAAAAGAAGAUAAAAAACGUAUAUGACGUUAGAGUAUAAAUUCUAAUGUGUUUAGAAGGUAGCAUACAUGUAAGGAGUAGUUAUUUUAUCAACGAUAUAUGAUAUAGUAAGAGAUAGAACAUAAAUGAAUGUUAUCUAUAUUUUUCAACAAUGAAGUAAAAAGCGUACAAUAUAUGUUGUACUUUAUAAUAAUAAAUACGUUUGGUUAGAACUGAGGUACCCAUAUUCUAUAUUUAGAUAUACCAUAGAGAAUACUUUAAAAUAUGAAUAGUAACCUUUAUAAAAGGUUGAAGCAAUUAGAACAUUUAUUUAAUCCUUGUAAAUAGUUAUAAUAUGCAAUCUAGCAAAUCUAGAUCAACAUAUCCAAAUUCUUUUUGGAAAUAAAUUUUUGUAUUCCAAAACUUGUAAAAUAAUAUAAGGAUCAUAUUGAUUUUCCAUAAUUUUUUAUUUAUAUUUAGUUUUAAUAUUUUUUUGGUAUUAUUAGGAUAAUUAUUUUAAAACUGACUAUUUAAUACAAAAUUAUAAAGAGACAAAAACAUUCUCAUUAUGGCUUAUUUUGUGGAUUUCUCUUUUAUAAAAAGGUUAAAAAGCAGACUAACAACUUGUUCUUCACUAAAAAAAAACUUAAAUUCUCAAUUCAGUGUUUCCUAAUUUGUGAAUAUAUAUUGCCUAAGUGAUUUAUUGACUAUAUUACUUCCAUUUACAAAAGCAAAACACAAAAACAUAUCCAAAGCUUCCUUUUACCAUGAAAUCAUCUAUAUAAAGAUCAUUACUACUGAAGAAAUAAUUUAUCAUUCCAAGAAAAAUAUUAAAAAUGUCAGAGCCCAAAAAUAAGAAGAUCAAACACAUUGACGAGCUGCCUGAAGAUCUCACUGUAGAGCUGCCUGAACAUCUGGUGGAGUACAUCAUAUCAACAUAUUUGCCCAUCCAAUAUGUUCUACAAAACCAUGUUGUGUCCAAAACAUUCAGGGAAGCAGCAAUUCGAUCCCGAGACCUUGAUUUCGGCAGGAUAUACUCCAGGAGACGUAGUCAAUCAGAGGUUGUACAUAUAAUUGAAGAGAUUUUUAAUCAACACAAAGGAUCAGAAAUCAACCGAUUUGUUCUGAUUCUCAAUCAUAUUGGCGUAGAGGAUAAGGUACUCUCGUGGGUAAAAACAUGCCUAAGUAAAAACAUUCAAGAGCUGACGUUAAACUUCUCCAAAUCCAAGAAAGUCAUGGAUCUCUCUGUUGAUUUCUCGGCCAUCGAGACACUAACUGUCUUGAAUCUAAGGUGGUGUAAAUUCGAAAUACCGAAUAAUACCCCAAAGGGUUUAAGACUCUUGAGGACACUUGCGCUCAUGAAGUCCAACGUAACACCAGAGAUGAUAGAUGCAAUAUUCAGCAACUGCAUUCACCUCGAGACGCUUGAACUAACCAGAUGCAUAACGCAUGGGGUAUUGAGCAUCAAUGCUCACAAUCAUAAGAAGUUCAAGGAACUGGUCCUGUAUUGUAUGCCUAAUCGCUUGCAAAUCAUUUUAGAUGCACCUACUCUUGAAUGCUACAAGUAUGAAGGAUUUGUUAGGAUUCUUGACUUUUCAAAAGUGGACGCACUUAAGGAGGCGAAACUCCAUUAUAUCCAGAAUUACAAUUGGCGUUAUUACGAUUCGUCUAACAUGGUGCUUGCUAACAUGGUGGCCUAUACAGGAGUUCAUGUCCUCUCAACGACAAAUAUCUUUCUUGAGGUAAACUUUUUCGAAUUUACUUUUCUUAUAUUUAUAAAAGUGUUUCCUGUUUUUAUUGCAAUGUCUGAGGAAAAUUUAUAUAAGGUAUCAUUUUUCCACAAAAUGAAAUAUAGGAUAACUUUACAGAUAGAGACACUCUUGAGUGAAUUUUUAGAGUUCCUUCUGCAGUUUUGCACAAAUUCUUUAGGUGAUCAACUGAUCAUGAUAGAGGAUGUUCAUCUUAGAUAGACUAUGCAACAUUCACAUGCGUUUGUUUCCUGUGUUUAUAUAACUCACUUUGUUUUGUUUAUAACUUUGGCAGUCUUGGUUUACGUACAUGAAUUUUUAUGUUUCCUUUGACAUGUAUAUAUAGGCAUUCAAGGAAAGAUACAUAGAGGGAGAAAUGAGAAGCCCCAUUUUCAAAUUUUUGAACUUGAAAGAAUUCAGUAUUCUUUUUAAAGCUCCAAACUUGUGUACUCUUUAUCACAUUUCUGAAUUCCUCAAAAGAUCCCCUAAGGUCGAAAAGGUUUUGAUCGAUGUACGUAUCUCUCUAUCUAUCUCAAAAUCAAUAAUUCUCUAACUCUAAUUAAGUUCAUUAAAAUUCUCGUUUGGUAAGUGCAGAUUAAGGAGUUCACAUUUGAACCUGGUAUGCUUUGGAUAAUUCAUCAAAUGUCAUAUAUGGAGAGCAGCAACUGCGAGUUUAACUCUAUCAAGGAAGUCACGAUUGAUGGCUACAAAAACCAUUGGCAUGAGCUUGAUAUAGUGGAGUUCUUUUGCAGGCACGCAAAAUCGCUAAAGAAGUUGAAGUUGAUCAUUCCAAAAAACGUUAAGAAAAGAGCUCGCGGACUCGAUUAUGCUAGGCUGGAUUACCUAAAAAGCAGAUUUACAGGUGUUAUAGUGGAAGUUUAAAUUCAGGAUAUGACCAAGCAUGGCAAACUAUAAUAGCUCUUCUGAUGUGUUUUUUCUAAAAAAAAAUUUAAUGUUAUUUUCUGAGAUUUGAACUCUUUUGUUUUUAGUUUUGGUAAUGUUUAAGCUAUAAACUAUGUCAUGAUCCGCGUAACCUCGCAGAUUUCUUUUCUAGCGAAUGGAAUAAAACAUAUAAAAAUAUAAAUAAUAUGAUGUGUGGUGUUAUAUAAUUUUGUUCUAUAAUAUUUAUUUAUCUAAAUUAAUUAACAUUAUUUUAAUUUAUACAAAACUAAUAGUGAAUCAGUUAUUUUAUAAAUCUGUCGAAAUAUUAGGAAAGUAAAAAUAAUGAAUUUGUUAGUUUAUAAACAGACAAAAUGGAUAUAUUAAAUUGAAAAACAUACAAAACAAUAAUUAAGUUCAAAUGAAUGUUUAUGUUUAAAUAGUAUAAGAUUUAUUGGAAUCAUUGAUAUCAAAGUGGUUUUGGUCUAAUUUGCUCAUAAACUACUCAUACAAAAAAGUUUAGAGUCAUAUAAAAUUGGAAAAACAAUAAUAGAUGCUAAAUUUUAUUACAAUCAAUAAUUAUUUCUUAUUGUGAAAUUACUAUAAAUUACUGUUAGUAAUUUGUUUAGCAUCCAUUAAGUAAGAAAUCAACGUUGGUCAGUAUUACUUCAUUCAUGCUUCAGUUGGUAAAAAUUAGAAGAAGAACAAAUAAGAGGGAACACAAUGCUCCUUAAAAAUUUACACCAUUGGGAGAAAAAUAAUUUGAACAUCCAAACUUGUUUUUCUUCUUGUUCACGAGAAAAGCAGUGAUAUAAACAAUGAGAAAAAGUGAUGAAAUCAAAGAGAAUAGACUUGGAACUGCGAAGAUAACAACAUCCUUUUGACUUCGGAAAACCCAGAUAAAGAAGAAGCUUUCUGAUCAAGAGAGAACCUCUGAUUGCAUACUGACAUUUCUUCAUGUCUCCGUUGAGCGACUCGUAGUCUACUAGUUUGAGAUACAUUUUCAGAAUUGACUUUUCACACAAAUAGCAAACACGCUUAGCUCGAUUAUGGAGUGAAGGCGGAGAUGAUUAAAGUGGUGACGAUGGCGAUGGUGAUGAGCGGCGCCAGAGAUGAUGACGAACGAGAUAAUCGCCGAGACGACGCCGGAGAUAAUGAUGACCGAGAUGAUCGACGCCGGGGAUGACGCAAUCUGUCAUCGUCGAUUUCGUGAUUUAAAUUUUAUUUCAAUUUUUAGAAAAAUGUAAGUAGAGAAAGAAAGGGGUAAAACGGUAAAUGCCAUAUUAAAUGAAACAUUUUUGUGAUUUUGAGCCUUCAUGUCUAGAAUGAGAAGAAAAAGUGGAUAUAAGGCUAUCUAAGGCCAUUUCUUGUUUUUUUUUUAAUGUAAAUCUUAAUUAUAGAUAUAUUUGAAAAGUUGUUUGUUGUUUAAAAUUAUGCCAUUAUAUUACUUUUUACAAUACUUUUAGGUUGUAUAAUUUUGUGAAGUAGUUUUUUGAACUAUUUUAUUAACUAGUUUAACCAAUUAACGUUGAUAUUAACCUACCAACUAUGAUUUGAUGCCACAUUAAAUAUAAUUUUAUCUAAAGUGUUAAGAAGACUAAACGCCAUUAACAAAUAUUUUAAAAUAAGCUUCAGAUUUAAUGGCAAACUAGAGUUGGAACCGCGCGCCCGCGUGAAUGUUUAGUUUUACCAUUUACAAAUAGUCUUAGGCAUUCGCUUCUCGGUUCGGUUCAAGAUCGUUUCUUUUGUUUUUUUUUGGCUUUAGAAAUUUAAGAUCCAUUAGGGUAUUUAAAAAGUUUGGUUUAGUUCCGGUUCAGUUUAACUUUCGGUUAAUUUGGGUUGAAAAAAAAAAUCAGCUUUUCGGAUUAAAUAUCAGAUUUUUGGGGUUUUCAGAUACUAAUUUGGAUAAUUCAAAUAAUUUUAAAUACUUUUGAUAAAUAAAUAUUAUAGUAAUUCGAUUUUUUGGGUAUUUUGACAAUCAAAUAAUCAUAAAACAAUAAUAUUUUAUAAACAUAUAAAUUAUAAUAUAGAAAUUUGGAUAUCCACUUGUUUCUCGGUUUGGUUUGGUUUUGAUCCAGUUCCUGUUUUUAGCUCUAGAGAUAUAGAAUCCAAAAAUAAUAAUUAACAGGAUUUAAAUCUGAACCAAACCUUUUUUUCGGUUUGGCUCGGUUCUGUUCUUCGAUUAUGGGUAAAAGUACCCAAGCCUAAUUACAAAGAUCAAUAGUUUAUAUACUAUAUGUUUGUUUAUAUAUUUUUAUAUAUGAUUGUACAUUAUAAAAAUAGAAUCUAUAAAUACUGAAUAAAUAAAUAAUAGAAAAUAGAAUGGCCGUUCGAUGUCAAAAAAAAAAAUAAUAAUAAUAGAAAUAAUUAUCACUUUAUAUAUAUAGUGAUAUAAAUAAUCACUUUUAUAUAUAUAUAUAUUUACUCUUGAGCUACAUUCACUUUAUAUAUAUAUAUAUAUAUAUAUAUAUAUAUAAAGUGUUGUUUUUAUUUGUAAAUAUAUAAAAAUAGGAAUACAUAAAGUGAAUGAACCAAUUAAAACAGAAAUUAUGUUUAUUAAUUAUUUAAUAUACAUUCCUUUUAUUGUUAAAUAAUUAAUAAACAUAAUAUUAUUUUUUAUAUAAGCCAAACGUGAUUUGCAAAUUUUAAAAAGAGAAUAUACAGAUUGUGCUAGUAAGAUUAAUAUCCUUUUAGUUAUGAUGAUUGCCUUAAAAUAGGAUUUCUUUUUCUGUAAACUAAAAUAGCAAAAGUUUUUAAAUUUUAAUGGUAAACUAAAUAUUUACCGGUAGCUAGGGUUUAAUUCAUUAAGUAAAAUUAGUUUGAGAGUUUUACGUUAAAUACUUAGAGGGUUUUACCCAAAACAAACUUAGUUAAAGGGUUUUAACAUUAAAAAUCCAAUUUUAAAUAUAUUUUGCAUUUUAUACAAACCUAUUUAAUGUAGAAUCUUAUAUUUACGUCUCUUCUCUUGGUAUUGUUUUUGUAUGAGAAGAAAAGUGCUUUUGAAGGUCAAGCUUUCACUCAAUAAUGUUUCGUACAUGUUUUAAAGAAACCUGGAAAAAUACACAAUUGUAACAAAAACAUGAACCAUACGUAAUUGAUUUUGUGGUAUACGUGAAAAUUUUCUUAGAUGAGAAACAGUUCCUCGAUAAUUACACUCUUGAUUAAUCAUGAUAUAUAUUGGAUCAAAUUUAUGUGGUAGGUCUUACACAACUGAUGUAUAAUAUAGCCUAUUGAAUUUUGUAUAAAUUGGAUUUGAUUCUGCACUAACAUAAACUGAUGUAUUUUUGGAAUUGAAUCUAUAUUAAAGACCAAUGGCAUAGGAUUGUAAUUGUUUUGGAAAAAUCAGGAUUAUUUCUUUCUUAUACUCUUAUUUUAAUAGAUUAGAUUAUGUUGUUUUUUUUUUGAACAAAAUCUAGUCUAUACUAUUAAAAGGGAGGCAUUCUUAAAAAAUCUAUUUAUGCAAGGUUAUUUGGACCUAUUAGUUAGACUACCUAUUAGUUAGACUAACACCACAUAAUUCAGCAUAUUUUUAAGCCAAAGUAAUAUUUCAUACAUCAACUCAUAAUUUCUUUAAUGUACAAAAAGAGAUAUUGUAACUAACAACGAUAUUUUACGUAAAGAUUUUAUUAUUUUUUUUAAUACAGAAAAUAACUUAAGGAAAUAGUCAUAACAAACGGAUCAAUAUUAAUGUACUUAUUUUUGGACCCUACAUAUAGAUUAUCGAACAUAUGAUGCAUACCUUUGUAUUACAAACUUAACAAUAUUCAUUCCACUUUUUAAGUGAUGUGUUAUUCAUGUAUAUCUUGACUCUUUUAAUGAAAUGUUAUCACAAAUUUAAUAUCUGAAAUUGAAAACUAUAUCAAUACUAAAAAUAAUUGGUUUUAUAGUAAUGUAAAUUCAUAGUUGUAACUAUGAUAUAAAUAUAUGCGAGGAAAAUUCAUUUUUAAUUUAAAUUUGAUAGCUUGUGUGUUAAUGACAAUAUUUUGAAAACCGAACGGGGCACUGAUUCAACAUUGCACUUGGAUCAAUGGUCGGACAGGUUUAACCGCUAAAUUUUAAUUUAAUUUUAAAUUAAGUAACUAUAUAUGUAAGUAUAACUAUAAAUUAAUUUUGAUAUAAGUUUAUAUCAAUGUUAUAUUUUAAAACUGAUAUGGAAAAAUAAAAUGAAAAAUUCAAAAACUAAAACUAAUUUAUUUAUAUAUGUAGUAGAAAACAAUAUUAAAUUUUGAUGAAAUCUUAUUAAAAUUUACAAUUUUUUUUUAACUUGAAUUUGCCAAAACUGGGUUUUAAUAUUGAACUAGGUCCGAUUUAACUCAAAUUCGGUUUUUAGCACAACUCAGAACCAAUUAGAAGAGCGAGUCAGAAUCCGACUGGUUCGAUCGUACGGUCCGAUCAGAUUUUCAAAACAUUGGUUAAUACAGUUCAAGAAUUAAAAUAUAUAUUUUUAAUAAUGAAUAUCUUUACUACUAAAAACAUACAUAUCAUCUUUAAAUCUAUUUCAAACAAAUCUCACACUAUAAAAAAUAAUGAAUAAUAAAAACAUUAAAAAUCAAUAGUUAUAAUGUGAAACAAAAAAAAAUAUACUAGAUUUAAAAUUUAUUAAAGAUUAUAAACCUCAAACCCGCGCUUUUUAAGCGCGGAUCAAAAUCUAGUCUAUACUAUUAAAAGGGAAGCAUUCUUAAAAAAUCUACUUAUGCAAGGUUAUUUGGACCUAUUAGUUAGACUACCUAUUAGUUAGACUAACACCACAUAAUUCAGCCUAUUUUUAAGCCAAAAUAAUAUUCCAUACAUCAACUCAUAAUUUCUUUAAUGUACAAAAAGAGAUAUUGUAACUAACAACGAUAUUUUACGUAAAGAUUUUAUUAUUAUUAUUUUAAUACAGAAAAUAACUUAAGGAAAUAGUCAUAACAAACGGAUCAAUAUUAAUGUACUUAUUUUUGGACCCUACAUAUAGAUUAUCGAACAUAUGAUGCAUACCUUUGUAUUACAAACUUAACAAUAUUCAUUCCACUUUUUAAGUGAUGUGUUAUUCAUGUAUAUCUUGACUCUUUUAAUGAAAUGUUAUCACAAAUUUAAUAUCUGAAAUUGAAAACUAUAUCAAUACUAAAAAUAAUUGGUUUUAUAAUAAUGUAAAUUGAUAGUUGUAACUAUGAUAUAAAUAUAUGCGAGGAAAAUUCAUUUUUAACUUAAAAUUGAUAGCUUGUGUGUUAAUGACAAUAUUUUGAAAACCGAACGGGGCACUGAUUCAACAUUGCACUUGGAUCAAUGGUCGGACAGGUUUAACCGCUAAAUUUUAAUUUAAUUUUCAAUUAAGUAACUAUAUAUGUAAGUAUAACUAUAAAUUAAUUUUGAUAUAAGUUUAUAUCAAUGUUAUAUUUUAAAACUGAUAUGAAAAAUAAAAUGAAAAAUUCAAAAACUAAAACUAAUUUAUUUAUAUAUGUAGUAGAAAACAAUAUUAAAUUUUGAUGAAAUCUUAUUAAAAUUUACAAUUUUUUUUAACUUGAAUUUGCCAAAACUGGGUUUUAAUAUUGAACUAGGUCCGAUUUAACUCAAAUUCGGUUUUUAGCACAACUCAGAACCAAUUAGAAGAGCGAGUCAGAAUCCGACUGGUUCGAUCGUACGGUCCGAUCAGAUUUUUAAAACAUUGGUUAAUACAGUUCAAGAAUUAAAAUAUAUAUUUUUAAUAAUGAAUUUCUUUACUACUAAAAACAUACAUAUCAUCUUUAAAUCUAUUUCAAACAAAUCUCACACUAUAAAAAAUAAUGAAUAAUAAAAACAUUAAAAAUCAAUAGUUAUAAUGUGAAACAAAAAAAAUUAUACUAGAUUUAAAAUUUAUUAAAGAUUAAAAACCUCAAACCUGCGCUUUUUAAGCGCGGAUCAAAAUCUAGUAUUCUAUUAAAAGGGAAGCAGUCUUGAAAAAUCUACUUAAAAAUGUUGUUUGGACCCUUUCAUUAACUAACAAUAUUUUUGGUCUUACCAUAAUAAUUGACUAAUAAUAUAUUACCUUAUAUUUCUCUAACAAUAAUUUAGUCACUGCUAUAUAUCUUUGUUUUUUUUUUGAACUGAGCUAUAUAUCUUUGUUAGACUUAUUAAAAUCAAAUAUCUUACAAUAAGCAUAACACCAACUUAUUUGAUUUUAAUAAGUCCAACAAAGAUUUAUGGAAAAUAGAAGUUGGAGCCCUGAUACCUUUUGAUAAAACCAAAUAUCUUACCAUACGUAUAACACCAACUUAUUUUGAUUUUAAUAAGUCCAUUCACCAACCAAUAAGUUUAAAACCAAACAUAUUGUUAAUUUUGGAGUAAACAAACCUAUUUACUAUACGUACUGAUAUAUAUAUAUUUAAUAUUGUAUUCUAAUGUUUGUGGAAUAUUUAUACAAACAAGUUAAAAAGUAAUGAUAUAAUAUUUAUAUAAACAAGUGAAAAAAAUGAUCUAAUAUACAUUAAAAUACGAGUCGUUUAAAUCCAUAACUUAAAUACCUGUAAAAUUCUUAAAAUUUUCAGGUAUGUAACUGAUUCGAUUAGGUUUGGGUAUCUAAAACCCAAAGUACCAGUAAGCCUGAAAAUACCUGAGACUCCAAAUAAAUACCCAAAUAAAUAUGCGAAAAGCCCGUAUUUUAACCUAAAUCAUGAAUCGAAAAACUAAAAAUACUUAAAAUUUAAUUUGAAUACCCAAAAUAUAUUUUAAAAUUGGAAUUUUACCCAAAACCUGAAACAAUAACCAAAAACCCAAACUUAAAAUUUAAAAGAAUAUCCAAAUUUAAAACAUAUACGAAAUACCCAUACAUACCUAAUAUACUAAAAAGAUCCGAUUAAUUUGGGUACCUGAUCAGGUCUCGGCUAUGAUCCGGACCAGAUCAAAACCUGUGGGUCUUAAAAAAUAACCAAUAGAUACUUUGUCCUGGACUCGAACCGAACCUAUAUUUUCAAGUCGGUCUUGGUUUGUGUUUUUGGAUCCAGAUAAAAUAGACAGACCAAAAGAGUUAAAUAAAAAUGUACACACAAAAUCUUAAAUAAACUUAUUUAUGAAUUAUAUAAUUUUACAAAAAUUAUCUGCCUCAAUAUAAUAAUAUUUUGUAACAUAAUAAUGUACAACAAUCUACAAAUAUUAAUUCAUAUCAUAUUGUUAUACUUUAAAAAAAACCCGCGCUUUCUAAGCGCGGGUCAAAAUCUAGAAAGCGCGGGUCAAAAACUAGUUAUGUGGUUAAAGACCCCUUUAACCAUUCUUUUUAAUGAACGUUCAUGUUUCUUUAUUGUUCUCAUAAAAGCAAAACACAGGGGUUUCUCAUCCUUCAUCGUUGUCGGUUUCUUCUGAGGGUGUAGAGAGUUGAGGCUCGAUUUCGUCAUUCCUCGGACGAUCCCCCAUUUAACAGGCGGCGUGGGAAGCCUCAGUUCCACCGUUGAGGAGCAUAGAUUCUGCCUCCGACAAGCUAAGGGUUACUGAUGCUCUUGGAAAGGCUGCUCGUUAAAUUUCCUGUUGACGUCUUUUAUAAUCAAGAAAUUUGAUUUCAUCUUUUCCAUUAUGUAUAUGAUUUGAAUCUGAGGUCUUUGAUGUGUUUUGAGCGUGACGUCUCAAACUUCUCCUUUUUGUUUGUUUGCUUGAUCUCUAAUAAUUUUGUUCUUCAGUGCUUCGGAAGAUGUCAAACCUGAUGGUACCAUCCAACUAUACGCCUAUGCAUGUGAAAUUCUUGAAGAAGAUGGGAUAGAGCAAAUAGCCUUUGAUCUCGAGAAGUAAGUUCUUGCUUACCUUCCCAAGUUCAAGUUCAAGUUCCAUUGCACAUGGAUAUGUUAUUAAUAAUUUGUGAAAGAAUAAGCUUUUCUAUGCUUCAGAUACCUACAGCAACAAGAAACAUGAACAGUUUAGUAUAAUUUGAAAAUGUGAUACCAGUUCCUGUAUCUGAUCUUUUCAUUUUUGUCGGUAGGAUUGAUGCUUUUCUGAAAAUGAUCAGAACGGAACUGCUAGCAGGUUGUUCACAGUCUAUAAUGAAACCUACAUCGAUCAAAUCAAGAAAGUGCAAGUUCAGAUGAAUGCUGGUGAAGAUCUCGACUAGGAUGAUCUCACUUAAAGAUUCUCCUAUUUGUAAAGUUAAGACUCCUACACUUGGCUUAUGUUCAAGCCAGAGUACUUAAAGAAAGUUAUCAUUUUGGUCCGAUCCUGGUUAUGUGAAUGAUUUGAUUAUAAAGGCUCUGAAUAACGUUUUGUGCUUGUUUCUAUACUAAAACCCACUUGAGCACUCUUUCAAGCCUUUGUUUUAAUUUGUUUUAAUAUGUUUAACAUAUUCUGGUAAUUUCUUCAUUUGUGGUAAUGUUAGCGAAACCUUCGUAUAUCUGCGUAUCAAUAUCAUUUUCGUAACUAGUUUUGUCGUUCACUGCUAUAGUUUCACUCUUCUUUCCUUUAUGAACACCAAAUAACCAUUUGGAGUUUCCAGAUAUCAAUUUACUACAAACAACUUUUACGUGAGACAUGAAUGAAAAGGAACGAAAUUUAUGACAUAAAUCGUAAUUCCAUUAAAGACAAACACGUCUGGUAACUUUUGUAGAUUAGGUUUAUUUUUCUUGGUUUAAAUUAUAGUUUUGGUUAUAGUUUGAUUUACUUAAAAAAAAAAUUUGAUUUACUUAAUUUAAUUUGUUGGUUAGAAAGAUUUUGGUUUAAUUCAAUUAAAACUAUCAGUAUACAAAAAAAAAUCAGAAUUUAAUGGUUAAAUCCAGUUUUCAAUAACUUUUGGCCAAAAAAUUAACAAAUAUGUUGCCAAUGUAAUUUUUUUUUGUCAAAUUGCAUUAAAUAUGUGGUCAAGGAAUAAAUAAAUUUAUCAAAUUAACAUUAAAGCAGUCAAAAUUAAGUAUAUCUGCGAUAAAAAUAUAAUAAAUAUAUCAAACCCAUAUUAAAUUCUUCAAUAUUACGUAAAUAUGUGAUCAAAAGAUAAUAAAUCUGUUAAAACCUAAAUAAAUCUAUUAAAAAUAUGUAAACCAGUGGCCAAAGAAAAAAAAAAUUAAUCUACCGAAUCUUAUAAAAAUCUGUUAAAGUUAAUUAAAUUUGUCGGCAAAUAAACUAAAUUUAUUUAUUUUUUUUAAAAAACAUAAAUAUGUUGACCAAACGUGAAAAAUUCGUAGAAAUAUAAUUAGUUUAUAGAAAUUAAGAUAAAUCUGCCACAAAAAAAAGUUAAAAAUAAGUUUGUAAUUACAUUAAAACGUGAACAAAAUAAGUCUACUAAUAAUGAGGUUUUCGUAUUUAUUAGUUUUAUAUCAAAGGAGGUAGGGGCAAAACAGGACUAAAUAAAAUUAGUAAUUAUAAUAAAAUUAGAGUAUUUCUGGUAAUCAACUAAUGUAUUAGGGUUAAACGAAAAAUUUCCCAUUAAUUUAUUAAUAAAAUAAUUAUAAAUAUUUAAACUUUCUUUUUUUACGUUGAACAUCUUGUACUCCGCCUAAAAAUGCUUUUGCUGUCAACUCUCUUGGCGAUUCUGGUGAUCACUUUCGGCAAUAAGAACCUUUCAUUUGAUGAAAAACAGAUGCGAAGAAGAAAAAAGAAAAAAGAUCGUUGAAUCAAAAAAGUUGAAUCAAUAUGAUUCAAUGUAACUCAAUGUCAAAAACAAGAUAAGUUUAGAUAAAAUCAUAAGGUUUUCUCAGAUUUAAAACAUAGAAUACAUAUUUAAAAGAAAAAGAUAAAACACAUAUAUAACCGUAGAGUAUAAAUUCUAAUGUGUUUAGAACAUAGCGUACAUGUAAGGAGUAGUUGUUUUAUCUACGAUAUAUGAUAGAGUAAGCGAUAGAACAUAAAUGAACAUUGUCUAUAUUUUUUAACAAUGAAGUAAAAAGUCUACAAUAUAUGUUGUACUUUAUAAUAGUAAAGAGGUUUGGUUAGAACUGAGAUACACAUAUUCUAUAUUUAGAUAUAUCGUAGAGAAUACUUUAAAAUAUGAAUUAUAACAUUUAAAAAAUGUAGAAGCUAGAUCAAUUAGAACAUUUAUUUAGUCUUUGUAAAAAGUUAUAAUAUGCAAUCUAGCAAAUCUAGAUCAACAUAUCCAAAAACAUUUUGGAAUUAAAUUUUUGUAUUUUAAAACUUGUAAAAUAUUUUAAUGAUCAUAUUGAUUUUCCAUAUUUUUAUUUAUAUUUAGUUUUAAUAAUUUUUGGUAUUAUGAAGAUAAUUAUUUUAAAACUGUCUAGUUAAUACAAAAGUGUAAAGAGACAAAAACAUUCUCAUUAUGGCCUAUUUUGUGGAUUUCUCAUUUAUAAAAAGGUUAAAAAGCAGAUUAAAACUUGUUCUUCACUAAAAAAACUUAAAUUCUCAAUAAUGGUAACUUUAUAUUUUAUACAAAAAGACAAACAGAAAAGAGACUACAAUUCAGUGUGUCCUAAUUUGUGAAUAUAUAUUGCCUAAGUGAUUCAUUGACUAUAUUACUUCCAUUUACAAAAGCAAAACACAAAAACAUAUCCAAAGCUUCCUUUUACCAUGAAAUCAUCUAUAUAAAGAUCAUUACUACUGAAGAAAUAAUUUAUCAUUCCAAGAAAAAUAUUAAAAAUGUCAGAGCCCAAAAAUAAGAAGAUCAAACGCAUUGACGAGCUGCCUGAAGAUCUCACUGUAGAGCUGCCUGAACAUCUGGUGGAGUACAUCAUAUCAACGUAUUUCCCCAUCCAAUAUGUUCUACAAAACCGUGUUGUGUCCAAAACAUUCAGGGAAGCAGCGAUUCGAUCCCGAGACCUUGAUUUCGGCAGGAUAUACUCCAGGAGACGUAGUCAAUCAGAGGUUGUACAUAUAAUUGAAGAGAUUUUUAAUCAACACAAAGGAUCAGAAAUCAACCGAUUUGUUCUGAUUCUCAAUCAUAUUGGCGUAGAGGAUAAGGUACUCUCGUGGGUAAAAACAUGCCUAAGUAAAAACAUUCAAGAGCUGAUGUUAAACUUCUCCAAAUCCAAGAAAGUCAUGGAUCUCUCUGUUGAUUUCUCGGCCAUCGAGACACUAACUGUCUUGAAUCUAAGAUGGUGUAAAUUCGAAAUACCGAAUAAUACCCCAAAGGGUUUAAGACUCUUGAGGACACUUGCGCUCAUGAAGUCCAACGUAACACCAGAGAUGAUAGAUGCAAUAUUCAGCAACUGCAUUCACCUCGAGACGCUUGAACUAACCAGAUGCAUAACGCAUGGGGUAUUGAGCAUCAAUGCUCACAAUCAUAAGAAGUUCAAGGAACUGGUCCUGUAUUGUAUGCCUAAUCGCUUGCAAAUCAUUUUAGAUGCACCUACUCUUGAAUGCUACAAGUAUGAAGGAUUUGUUAGGAUUCUUGACUUUUCAAAAGUGGACGCACUUAAGGAGGCGAAACUCCAUUAUAUCCAGAAUUACAAUUGGCGUUAUUACGAUUCGUCUAACAUGGUGCUUGCUAACAUGGUGGCCUAUACAGGAGUUCAUGUCCUCUCAACGACAAAUAUCUUUCUUGAGGUAAACUUUUUCGAAUUUACUUUUCUUAUAUUUAUAAAAGUGUUUCCUGUUUUUAUUGCAAUGUCUGAGGAAAAUUUAUAUAAGAUAUCAUUUUUCCACAAAAUGAAAUAUAGGAUAACUUUACAGAUAGAGACACUCUUGAGUGAAUUUUUAGAGUUCCUUCUGCAGUUUUGCACAAAUUCUUUAGGUGAUCAACUGAUCAUGAUAGAGGAUGUUCAUCUUAGAUAGACUAUGCAACAUUCACAUGCGUUUGUUUCCUGUGUUUAUAUAACUCACUUCGUUUUGUUUAUAACUUUGGCAGUCUUGGUUUACGUACAUGAAUUUUUAUGUUUCCUUUGACAUGUAUAUAUAGGCAUUCAAGGAAAGAUACAUAGAGGGAGAAAUGAGAAGCCCCAUUUUCAAAUUUUUGAACUUGAAAGAAUUCAGUAUUCUUUUUAAAGCUCCAAACUUGUGUACUCUUUAUCACAUUUCUGAAUUCCUCAAAAGAUCCCCUAAGGUCGAAAAGGUUUUGAUCGAUGUACGUAUCUCUCUAUCUAUCUCAAAAUCAAUAAUUCUCUAACUCUAAUUAAGUUCAUUAAAAUUCUCGUUUGGUAAGUGCAGAUUAAGGAGUUCACAUUUGAACCUGGUAUGCUUUGGAUAAUUCAUCAAAUGUCAUAUAUGGAGAGCAGCAACUGCGAGUUUAACUCUAUCAAGGAAGUCACGAUUGAUGGCUACAAAAACCAUUGGCAUGAGCUUGAUAUAGUGGAGUUCUUUUGCGGGCACGCAAAAUCGCUAAAGAAGUUGAAGUUGUUCAUGCCAAAAAACAUUAAGAAAAGAGCUCGCGGACUCGAUUAUGCUAGGUUGGAUUACAUAAGAAGCAGAUUUCCAGGUGUUAAAGUGGAAGUUUAAAUUCAGGAUAUGACCAAGCAUGGCAAACUAUAAUAGCUCUUUUGAUGUGUUUUCAGAAAAAAAUAUUUAAUGCUAUUCUCUGAGAUUUGAACUCUUUUGUUUUUAGUUUUGGUAAUGUUUAAGCUAUAAACUAUGUCAUGAUCCGCGUAACCUCGCAGAUUUCUUUUCUAGCUAAUGGAAUAAAACAUAUAAAUAAAUAAAUAAUAUGAUGUGUGGUGUUAUAUAAUUUUGUUCUAUAAUAUUUAUUUUAUUAAAUUAAUUAACAUUAUUAUAAUUUAUGCAAAUUAAUAGUGAAUCAGGUAUUUAUAAAUCUGUCGAAAUAUUAGGAAAGUAAAACUAAUGAAUUUGUUAGGUUAUAAACAUACAAAAUGAGAUGUAUUAAAUUUAAAAACAUACAAAACAUUAAUUAAGUUCAAAUGAAUGUUUCUGUUUAAAUAGUAUAAGAUUUAUUGGGAUCAUUGAUAUCAAAGUGGUUUUGGUCUAAUUUGCUCAUACACUACCCAUAAAAAGAAGUAUAGAGUCAUAUAAAAUUGGAAAAACAACUAAAUUUUAUUAUAAUCAAUAAUUAUUGCUAAUUGUGAAAUUAGCAUAAAUUACUGUUAGUAAUUUGUUUAACAUCCAUUAAGUAAGAAAUCAACGCUGAUCAGUAUCAGAAGAAGAACAAAUAAGAGGAAACACAAUGCUCCUUAAAAAUUUAUACCAUUAGGAGAAAAAUAAUUUUAAUAUCCAAACUUAUUUUUCUUCUUGUUCUUCCAAAAAAAUUAUCAAAAAAUUGUUUCUUAAAUAUUGUUUUCUAAAAAAAAUAUUUACCAAAAAGGAAGAAAAACACACAUCUCGUCCCCUAUUAUACCUUCCAAUCUUCUACACCCAUUUUUGUCCAAAUAGUAUUUAGAUUAAUGAUAAUCCUAUUUUACCCUUAUUUAUAAACCAAAUUAAUAAAGAUUAAUAUUAAAAUGUAAAAUAAUAAUGAAAAAUAUAAAGAGAAUAACGGUCAAAGCUAGCGGGUGAUCGAACAAGUUUCUAUCAACAGAAGAAAAAGAUAGUCAUGCUCCAAAUCUCUCCCAUCCCGUCAUAUGUGAUGACAUGCUUCAAGCUCCUGGUCUCGCCAUGCAAAAGGAUUCAAUCGGCAAUCACUAGAUUUUGAUAGGAUGCAAGAAGUGGAAACAAAAAGAUGGCUUGGAUCUCAUGGACGACGACGAUGACAAAACCGAAGGUGCAUGGAGGACUUGGAUUUCAGGAUUUUCAAAGUCUCAACGACGCUUAGCUUGCUAAGUUUAGCUUGAGAGUUAUCAACAAUCCGUCAUGUCUGCUCAGCAAGGUCUUCAAAAGAAAAUACUGUCGGGAUUCAUUGUCCUCCAAGCAAUCCACAAGUCCGUGGAACCUCAUGGAUGGAAAGGCUGCUAAUCGGACGUGACCUCAUUCUCAGGAACACCGGAUGGGCUGUGGGGAAUGGAGAAACAAUCAGAAACAAUCCACGGCUAAGCUACAAUGAGCAGAUUCGACUUAUUGGUCCGGCUCAAGCAAAUCAACAAUCAUUGACAGUUGUAAUUCUACUCAAACUGGACUGAUCAAACUGGGACAGAGAGGCUAUCCAGUGUUUUAUCCCUCAUGAAGAGGAAAGGAUUUUGAUAGUAAAACCGAUAAUAACCUAAUUUGUUUGGGUACCGAGUCAGGGGAGUACACCACAAAAUCAGGGUAUAGAACAACUUUGGCCUACACAGAACCAACCCAUAAUGAAGACCUAGUGGACUCUUUUAAUUGGAAUGACGACAUUUAGAAACUGCAUACAGUUCCGGAAAUUAAGCUUUUCCUAUGGAAAGUGUUUAGUGAAGCCCUCCCGGUGGGAGAUUGCAGCAAGAAACAUCACCUCAUUUACUACCUGCAAAAGAUGCAAUAACACUGAAUCUAUCAAUCAUCUAUUCCUCUAUUUCUAUCUAGCACAAAAGGUAUGGAAGCUUGCUCCCUUUGCUAUUGAUGUUGAUGCUAGAAUAUUUCUAGAUUUAUCUACUUGUUGGAGUAUGCUCUGUGAUAUAGUAUGUUUCCCGCCUUCGGAUAUUGUCACAGGCCAGUGAUAUGCCAUGGAGAGUAUAUACUACGAGAAGGAAGAGGUCAUUGGAAGAGGAAGCUAGGAAGAGAUCUUUGGAGGAGGAAGCUUUACGUAAUUGAAGAAGAAGUGUAUUAAGUCAAACAAAGAAUAAAGUCAACAGAGUUUGUUACAGAUAUUUGUACGUGGACCUUAUACUAUAAAAGGACUCCAUUAGCUUAGGAUUUGGUUAUUGAUGAUUUGUACUUGGCUUAACUCUCCGGCUUGUGGAGAUCAAGAGUGGGCAGUUGGGAGGAUACUAAUCAAUAUACAUCACAGUUCAUAACAAAUUGGUGCGAGUGAAGUGUUCUGGAUCGAACGAUCGUGGCGGAAACGAUGACGAGACCGACGCAAUCAUCAGGAAAUCUUGAAUCGCUUUCGAUGCAAGUCGCAGAGCAGAGAGAGACGAGCGUACAGUUGCGAGAAAGUAUUGACGAAGUUAGGUUGACGAUGACGGAGCUGGAGCAGCGGCUCGAUGUCAAGUUCGAAGCGAUUCUGCGGAAGCUCGAUAAAAGACCGAUGGAGGAGACGAGUCUUCCUUCGAAUCCGAUCACUCUAUCGCAAGAUCCUCAGGUACAUUUCUCAAACACGGAACCUGGCCGAAGUUUUAGGGAGAGUCGCGAUAGUUUGAUUAAGAAGGUUGAACUUCUGACUUUCUCGGGAGAGGAUGUUUACGGUUGGAUUGCCUUGGCUGAGCGUUUCUUCAGAAUUGGAGGUUAUGGUGAGCUGAUGAAGAUUGAAUUGGUUUCUGUCACUCUCGGGGGAGACGUGUUGAGCUGGUUUAACAGUGAUAUUUUGCGACAUCAAUUCAGCAGCUGGUGUGACUUUAAGAACAAAUUGAUUGAACGAUUUAGCAGAGUGAAACUUUGUGAUCCGAGUCAGCCCUUCUUUGCCGUUCAACAGACGGGAACAAUUGCCGAGUAUAUUCAUAAGCUCGAAGAUCUGUCGACACAAGUGGUGGGGUUAACUGAUACACAAAAGGAGGGGAUUUUCAUAAAUGGUCUGACACCAGAAAUGAGAGAAGUUGUUACAAUGUGCAAGCCUGUGAACUUGCCAGACAUGAUUUCAACUGCUUAUCAAAUGGAAGAUAGCUCCUUGUUCAGUGUGAUUCAAAAAGAAAUGAAGAGCAGAAACAUGGCGACGUUGAGACCCCCGGAGAAUAAAAGCAAGUCUUAUUCGAAUUUCAACACAAAUACAGGAUGGAAGCAAGCUGCACAACCUUUGCAGCCAGUCACAACUCAAAAACAAUGGAGACAACCAACGAAGCCACUUCCGCAGCUUAGAUUGUCUUAAGCACAGAUUGCGGAUAAGAGUAGACUUGGUUUAUGUUACACGUGCGACGCGAAAUGGUCUAGGCAGCAUGUGUGUCCAAAUGCAUCUUUACAAGUCCUGACUGUGAUCGAUGGAUGUGAUGUGGCAUUAUUGGAUCAGGAGGUGAGUGAGAUGGACGAAGAUGAAAUUGUGUGGGAACCGCAGUUAAAGACAUUAUCUCUAAGAUCAUUUCUUGGGCGUUCUUCACCAACUACAACUAAAAUGACAGGAUUUUUGAAGAAGUUGGCGAUGAUAGUGAUGUUAGACAGCGCAGCAACGCACAACUUUAUCACUCCGGCGUUAGCUUGUCAAGCUAAACUGAGAGUAGAAACGCUGAGAGGAUUGGACAUAUUAUUGGGAAUUGGAGUGGCAGUUCAAGGAGGCGGGGUGUGCAGAAAUGUAGUUUUUGAUCUACAAGACGUGAAGUUUGUAGCAGACUUUAUUGUCUUGGAGCUGGGGCAGAUCGAUAUGAUUUUGGGCAUGCAGUAGCUGAGAACACUUGGUAGAUGCCAAAUUGACUGGGAGAGACAUGAAUAUGUGUUUUGGUAUCAAGGACAGAAGGUUAAGCUAGUGGGAGAUCCUACUUUACACUUGAUGCUAAAAGGAGGCAAGCCUGGUGUUGCUCAACUGGAGAUUCAUGAGACGAUUCUGGAAGUGCUGAAGUCCUUUGAACAUAUUUUCAGGGAGCCGACUGAGUUACCGCCGAUACGGGGCAGAGAACACGGUAUCACUUUGCAACCAGGAACGGGACCAGUGAGUGUAAGACCGUAUAGGUACCCUCAGAUACACAAAGACGUUAUGGAGAAGAGCGUUCAGGUGAUGUUAGCUAGUGGUUCAAUAAGACCAAGUCACAGUCCCUAUUCUAGUCCCGUAUUGUUGGUUAAAAAGAAGGAUAAAUCUUAGAGAUUCUGCAUGGAUUAUAGGGCGGUGAACAGAGUAACAAUCCCUGAUAAAUACCCUAUUCCGAUCGUUGAUCAGUUGCUGGAUGAGUUACAUGGAGCUAAAUACUUCUCUAAGCUUGAUUUGAGGUCGGGUUAUCACCAAAUUCGAAUGAAAGAGGCAGAUGUGGAGAAGACUGCGUUCCGUACUCAUGAAGGUCAUUAUGAGUUCUUGGUCAUGCCUUUCGGCUUGACCAAUGCACCAGCCACUUUCCAAGCAUUGAUGAAUGAGGUGUUUCAGCCGUUCCUGCGAAAAUUCGUUUUAGUCUUCUUCGAUGACAUACUUGUAUAUAGCUCAACAUUGGAGGAGCAUGUGCAACAUCUAGCAGCGGUUCUAAAGGUGUUUGAAGAGCAGUCGUUAUUUGCUAAUAGAAAGAAGUGUGAGUUUGGCCAGAGGAAGGUGGAGUAUCUUGGACAUGUGAUCUCUGCUUUGGGAGUUUCAACAGAUCCUAAAAAGAUUGAAGCAGUUACAAACUGGCCAAAUCCGAGAACGGUUAAGGAUUUGAGAGGGUUUUUGGAGCUCACUGGAUACUAUAGAAAAUUUGUUCAAGCUUAUGGGAUGUUAGCUAAGCCAAUUACCAAGUUUUUAAAGAAGGAGCAGUUUUUGUGGGCAACAGAGGCGCAAUUAGCAUUUGAUAAGCUUAAGGUGGCGAUGACAACAAUUCCGGUAAUAGCGCUACCAGACUUCACUAAGAUGUUUGUCAUCGAGUCAGACACUUCAGGGUUUGGAUUAGGAGCGGUUCUAAUGCAAGAUAGGCAUCCAAUUUCCUACUUCAGUCAUGCCUUGACCUCAAAAGAGCAACUAAAACCCAUUUAUGAACGGGAACUGAUGGCUAUCGUGAUAUCUAUACAAAAGUGGCGUCAUUAUCUUUUGGGAAGAAAAUUUUUGGUGCGAACUGAUCAACAAAGCUUGAAAUAUUUGCUUGAGCAAAGGGAGGUGACGUUGGAUUAUCAACGAUGGCUGAAACGUAUAUUGGGGUAUGAUUUUGACAUUGAGUACAAGGUGGGAACGGAGAAUAAGGUAGCAUAUGGACUCUCUAGAAUUGUUCAGUAUUCAGCUGCUGAAUUACAAACGAGGUUGUGUUCUUUGACAAUUCCGGCAACACUACAUAUGAAGGACAUUUUAGCGGAGAUUUAGACUGAUCAGGGUAUUCAGGAGAUGAUUGCUAAAUUGCAAAAUGGUGAGGCAGUGAAAAGUGGCUAUACGUUGAAUCAAGGCCGGCUGUUAUAUAAGGGGAGUUUGGUGUUGCCAAAAACAUCGCAAUACAUUCCUCUCAUUUUACAAGAGUGCCAUGAUGGAUUGCUAGGAGGACAUGCGAGAGUGUUAAAGACGUUAAAACGUAUUCGAGAAUGCUUUUACUGGCCUCAAUUGAGGAAACAUGUCAGUGAGUAUGUGGCUGCUUGUGAGAUUUGUCAGACGCAUAAGUAUUCCACAUUGUCUCCUGCUGGUUUGCUUCAACCAAUAGAGCUACCUACCAGGAUAUGGGAAUACAUUUUGAUGGAUUUUGUUGAGGGCUUACCUUCGUCACGAGGCGUAAAUGUUAUCUUGGUUUUGGUUGAUCGCUUGAGCAAAUACUGUCACUUCUUGACAUUGAAACAUCCUUUCACAGCAGCUGAGGUGGCUCAGAAGUUUCUUUCUGAGAUUGUACGCUUACAUGGAUAUCCUAAGUCGAUUAUAUCGGAUAGGGAUAAGGUGUUUUUGAGUAACUUUUGGAGGGAAUGUUUUAAAGCUUCAGACACGAAGUUGCGCUUUAGCACAGCUUUCCACCCUCAAUCAGAUGGUCAGACUGAGGUUUUGAAUAGAUGCUUGGAAACGUAUCUACGGUGCUUUGCGUCUACUCAUCCCAAGACAUGGGCUAAGUACUUAAUGUGGGCUGAAUUGUGGUACAAUACCUCUUACCAUACAGCAACACAGUGUUCUCCUUUCAAAUUGGUAUAUGGCCGUGAUCCACCGUCGUUAUUACGAUUUGAAGACGGUUCACGCAAAACUUUGAGCUGGAAGUGAUGUUGAAAGAAAGAGAUGCAUUGUUGAAUGAUGUGAAGAAACAUUUGUUGCGAGCGCAUGAGAUUAUGAAAAACAAUGCUGAUAAACAUCGUCGAGAUUUGGAGUUUGAUGUUGGUUCAUUGGUUUAUUUGAAGCUGAGGCCGUAUAGACAGCAGUCGGUGCAGAAGCGUAUUUGUCAGAAGUUGGCUGCUCGUUACUAUGGGCCCUACGAGAUGCUAGAGAGAAUUGGAAAAGUGGCUUAUCGACUACGUUUACCGGUAGAGUCGAAGAUCCACCCAGUGUUUCAUGUCUCUCAAUUGAAACCAGUGAUAGGGCGUGGUGAAAGGGUUACACCUUUACCACCUGUGUUGUCUGUGGAAGAGGAGUUGAUCGUGGAACCGUUGGAGUUGUUGGAUACUCGUUAUAGUGGAGAUGGAUUUUUGGAAGUCUUGGUACAGUGGAAGAAUCUACCGGCGCAUGAGACUUCUUGGAUGAGGAUGAAGGAAUUUAAGACGCAGUUUCCAUCAUACGAGCUUGAGGGCAAGCUCGGUCUACGAAAGGGGGGUAUUGAUAUGCCAUGGAGAGUAUAUAUUACGAGAAGGAAGAGGUCAUUAGAAGAGGAAGCUAGGAAGAGAUCUUUGGAAGAGGAAGCUUUACGUAAUUGAAGAAGAAGCUUAUUAAGUCAAACAAAGAAUAAAAUCAACAGAGUUUGUUACAGAUAUUUGUACGUGGACCUUAUACUAUGAAAGGACUCCAUUAGCUUAGGAUUUGGUUAUUGAUGAUUUGUACUUGGCUUAACUCUCCGUCUUGUGGAUAUUAAGAGUGGGCGGUUGGGAGGAUACUAAUCAAUAUACAUCACAGUUCAUAAUAGCCAGGUGGCUCCGUGGAUCCUAUGGUCCUUAUGGUGGGUUAGCAAGAAACAACCUUGUCUUCAAAAAUAGAGAAGCUACCUCUGAGGAAAUUAUUUGCAAAGCCACUGUUGCGGUAUGGGAAUGGCUAACGGAACAGAGCAUUAGCACCCUUGUCUCCCACCAGACGCAACCAUAAUCGAUCUGAAAACAGGGUCUCUUGGGGUAGGUGCUGGUUUCAGGCGAAAACAGAGUCUCCUUCAUGGCUCACUGUCAUCUUGUUAGCUCCCUGUUGGUUGCGGAGAGCUUAGCACUUAGGGAAACUAUCCUAGCAUGCAUUUAGAAGGGACUCCGUCAAGUGAGGUUUGAAUCUGACUCGCCCAAGCUGGUGAAAGCCCUCUCCUCCGAUGGGAGCAGAAAUCUAUGGGAUUGUAGCUGAUAUAAUUUGUUUAUCUUCAGCUUCUGAAUUAUCUCCUUCUCGUGGAUUCAUUGUGGUAAAAACAGAGAUGCCGUUUCUUUUGGAAAGCAAGCUCUGUGGGAUGAUGAAUCUAUUGUAAUGACUCCUAUGAAUAAUGGAGUCUAAAGUUAUGUUUUAAUGAAAAUUUGUGUUACCAAAAAAAUAAGCAGAAUAUUUAGUCUAUGUAGCGGUCAUCUCUUCUCUCUCAUUCUUUAUUUUCGGUAAGUAAAUUCUCAUCUAAAUUUCCUUAUCCUUCUCUCUUCCUUUGUCUAUCCUCGUCACCCUUAUUUUCUUUUUGAUUUGUUCAGCAUAAUCUUCUCUUCCGAAGGAUUGCAUCUCUAAAGCAAUAGGCCAUUUUCCCGUUUUGAGGCCAACCCAAAAAGAUCAAGAAUUGUACGUGUAGAAUGAUGUUAGGAGUUUUCAAGGCUCCUAAGACAAAUGUUGUAGUAUAAAAGAUUGUCGAACCAGUUCUGAGGGAUAUCAAAGCACUGAGAAUGCAAGUACUCACUUAAUCUAAGUGCAACCAAUGAUUUAGAUGGGUUUUAAGCUAUGACUAAAACUAGAAAGCAAUAACAGAAUGAUACUUUCUUGACUAAGGAAAAAGAGAACUCAUGGGCAUAGGGAUUAGACCUUGGGUGAUCAAGUAUCGAACUAAGGAUGGCAAACGAUCAAUCAAACUAUCAACCUUAAGCCUAGACACAAUUCUAAGCAAGCUCUAUGUCUAGAUGAAUGCUCAUUUGCUAACAUUUCUCAAACAUCAAAUGUCUUUGGUUGAAUAAUAUGAAAGCAAUCAUUACUAACAAGUCUAUUAGCUAUCUUAGCAUCUUUAACAACAAAUGUCUUUGGCAAAGUAUACUAAAAGCCUAGGAGAGUUGUCUCAGGCAUUUCAUCAAACACCUUUUGGGUGGGAAAUGUCUAUUGAUCAACUUUUGAGUGGCCAACUCAGAAGAUGCAUUAUGAAUACUCUACUAGCAAGGAACAAGAAUGAUCUACACUAAAACAUCCUAGAACUAACCUAAUCACCCUUAAUCUCCCUAACCCAUGAAUUCAAAAGGUGAUUACUCACUAAUCUCCAUGAUUCCUCUUAAACCCAUAUUGGAUUUUAGAUUAACCAUGUAGAGAAAUAGAUAAGAAAUCAACAAGAACACAAGAUGAAAGCAAUGAAAUCUGAAUCAAAAGAGGUUUUUUUACUAGUUCUUCUCUAGAAAAGAGAUUCUCUUGCCUCCCAUGGCUUACAAAGUACUUAACUUAGGUUUAGAAAGUGUAAAACAUCAAAACAAAUGACCAAAAGGCCCCUGAAAUAACAUAAAAAUUGUCCAAGCAAAACACGCGGAGCGACCUAGCAUAGUCGCUCCAGGAGGUCGCUCCCGACGCGUUUUUUUGUGUCUCGACGCGUCAAAACGCGAGUGACUUGAGCUGGUGGCUCUGGCUGGGAGUGACUUGAGGUAGUCGCUCUGGACUGGUCGCUCUGGCUGGGAGCGACCUCGGUAGGUCGCUCUGAGAGGUCACUCUGCGAUGCUCGACCAGGAUGGAUAUGCCUCUAGUAAAUUGAUCAUAACUCCUUCAUUACACCUCCAAAUGACUUGAAACCACUUCCAUUAGAAAGCUAACUCAAUUUUCUGUGUCUCCACAAAAUCUUAGCAACAGAAGAUUUCUCUAAAGGCUCCAUCCAUGCUCAUCUUUCACCCCCUUUUGGAUCACAAUGCUCCCAAACAUCUCAAAUCACUCUAUGGCACACUCCAGCACCUAAUAAGGACAAUGAAUGCAAAAUUCAACCUAGACAUGGCUAAAUCCUAAUCUAUAUGAUGAAAAUGCUCAUGGAUGAAUGGAUAAAACAAUGUAAAUAUGCAAGAUAUCAACUCUCCCAAACUUGUUCUUUUACUUGUCCACAAGUGAACUUUCUAGAACUCAUAGGGAGAGAGGUUUGAAGUUGGGAGCUCAUAGCCAAAAGAAACACAACUAGCAAACACAAUUAGCACACUCUCUUAUUACACUCUAGCUUCUCUAGGCCUAUCUCAACUCUUUUUGCCCUUACACUCAUCAUCAAGCAUCCACACAUUCAAAUCAACCAACUCUCACAUUCAUUAAGCACAAAACAUCAGGUGAAUUCUUGCAACUGGUCAGUUGGUCCAAGUCAUUUGGUUGGGUAAGGGAAGGCUUUUAUUCAAGUGAUUCAAGAGGUUCAAAACAUAUGAUCUUUAAGGUGGUUUACUCUCGAAACAAGUAGCCUUGACAUUGCACAUAAUAUAUCUAAGAAAGGGAUCAACUCAUGCAUACAAUGCUCAAUCUCCAUUGUUCUACCCUUUUUCUAAACAUACAAUUACACAAUCAUUCCCAAAUGUCAAACCCAACUCACAUCUCUCACCAAAAGAUCCUAAGAACUUUAACUCCUUCUCUUUGAAAUCUACAAGGGAUUUUUUCAGAACCUCAAAAUAUUUCUUAGCUCCUAACAACUUUGCUAGCCUCUUUUUCUUUUUUUUUUCUUUUUCUUUUCUCUUUUUUUUUUUUUUUAGGUUGGGGGCCAAUACUUUCAAAACUUGAGCUAGAGGCUUCUCUACUUAUCCCAAUAAAACAAUUCACUUAAGCACAAAGAGUCUAUUCUUUUUCUUUUUCAUUUCUCCCAAAUCAUAAUCACAACACUCACCCCCCCCCCCCACCUAUAGCUAGACAAUAGAGUGCCCAAUCUAGCAUGAAUGAAGAUCAAGCAUUGUCGUUCCCGAUACUCUCAACAUUAUGCACAUGUAAGACUUUCCGAAAAAGGCCUCACUCAUCAAACAAUGAAAGCUUAAAAGGAGGGAAAGGUUUUGGGAGUGGUCUACCACUAGAGUUUGUCAAAAAAGAUUGGCAUAAAAGAUGUGACAACUCAAGUGUGUAUAGCCAUGACUUAGUACACAAGGGACCAUGAGCAAGAAGCAUUAAGUUCGUUCAGUUCAAAUAAGGUUGUAGUUAGCUUCAAAGACUGAGUUUCAGCAAUCAACAAGUUUCAGGAAGAGUUUUCAAGGCUCGAAACAUACAAGUCUUUUUGAGAGGUGCAAAAGCUACUCAGGUGCAACGUAGUGUUCUUUACAAGGCAUUUAAAAUCAUUGCUCCUAAUGCAAGUGAAUGCAACCUAUAUGCUCUAGACUCUCCUAGAAAUGCAAAUGAUGCAAACUAAAUGAAUGUUUUUUUUUAUAUGCAAAUAGGUAUGCAAUGCAUGACUCAAUGAAACAACAUCAAAGCAAACAUGAUCAAAUACUUGGUACCUCCCCCAAACUUGAGUUACACAGUCUCUGUGUUGUCAAGUAGAGAGAGCUACCCAAAAGAAGACUAAUAUGCAAAAAUGAAAUGGUAUAUACAAGGGAGUGUGGUGGUUUACCUUCUAUGGGGAAUGAGUAGAGAGAGAUGCUCCCUCCUCGUCGUCCUCAGGUGGUAACUCUUCAAGAUGCUCGUCAGCAGGAGUGGCCAUCUCUUCAAUGUAGAAGGCUUGCCCGAACACAGUUGGUUUCCUCAUUUUCUCCUUGAUGUCAAAGUGUAGGAUGUUCUCUUUACCCAAAUGGAGAUCAAUCGUGCCUUCCUUCACAUUAACAAUAGCUCCUGCUGUUGCUAAGAAUGGCCUUCCUAGAAUCAAUGGGUCUUGAGCCUCCUCACC
Molecule: long non-coding RNA, 63332 nt
Filed under: Brassica rapa (field mustard)
Lineage: Eukaryota; Viridiplantae; Streptophyta; Magnoliopsida; Brassicales; Brassicaceae
Description: long non-coding RNA (BRAP_LNC000511)
Source: RNAcentral